Molecule: long non-coding RNA, 72069 nt
Filed under: Citrus x clementina
Lineage: Eukaryota; Viridiplantae; Streptophyta; Magnoliopsida; Sapindales; Rutaceae
Source: RNAcentral
UUGGAAAUAUUUGUUCGAUAAUACAGCUUUUUGUUGUAGUGUGUUGGAAAUGUUAUGAAGAAAAUCUAGACUUGAAUGAUAGUUGGCUAUCUUUGUUUGGUGAGUUUGCACGUUACAAGAUUGUGUGAGAUGAUUCUAUUGUAAGCCUUUGGCAAGAGCGAUACAGAUUGGCAUAUUUGUUUCCAAAGGUUUGUUACUUGCCAUGUUGAUGUUGGAUUGUGUUGGUGUGUUGAUCUUUUCCAUGUUGGUACGUGAUUCGUGUGGCUGCAUAUGGUUCAUGCACUGUGACUAUUUGAAUUCCGUGAAUUCCACAUGUGGUGGGCAAUGUAUGUUAACAGCCCCCUUGAGAUCAGUUGGGUUAUAGAGUGAAUGCCAAGCUUGUGCUGAAAGAGGAAGAAAAGAUCUUUACCCAGUGGUUUGGUAAGCAGAUCUAUAGUUUGCAACAAGAAGGGAACAUGCUUGGCUUCAAGAAGUCCUUGAAUGACUUCUUCACGAACGAAAUGGACAUCGAUUUCGACGUGUUUGCUAUGAGCAUGAAGAAGUGGAUUAUGUGUCAUGUUGAUGGCGCUCUUAUUGUUGUUGAGGAGGUGAGGAACAUGUAAAGUUGAGACCCCGAUGUCCUAAAAUAAAGUAAGAAUCCAAGUUAAUUAAGCCAUUUUGGGAGACAAAUUAAGCCCGAUAUUCUACUUGUACAAUGGAUCAUGCAACAAUUUUUUGUUUCUUGCUACACCAUGAGAUUAAAUUUGUCCCAAGGUAAACACAAAAGCCUGUUGUGCAACAUUCUAUUUCAAGGUAGGGUUGCCAAAAAAGUCCAAGUCGAGCUGCAUGGAUUGGGCCUGGAUAUGGGCUGAAAAAUAUGAAGCCCGUAGAAAAAGCCCGGGCUUUUUAAUUUAUAACUAAAAAAUAUAUCAAAUUAAAAUACUAUAUUAACAUUUUUUAUACUAGUAUUUACAGGUGGGCAUGUAUUGGUUUUGAUUGGGUUUUAAGUAAACCCAAAUCAAACCAUAAAAGUUUGGGUUCGAUCCAAACCAACUCAAAUAAUUUCAACCCAACCCAUUUGGAUUUGGUUUGGGUUUGGUUUGAAUUUUAUUAUCAAAAUAUUUUUUAUUUUGAUAAAUUUAAUUAUAUAAAAAUUAUAAAAAUUAUAAAUUGUUAUUAAUUAUUAAAUUGAUACUAAAAAAUGAAAAAAUAUAGUGGAUAAAAAUUAUAAAUAAUGAAUUUUACAAUAACUGAAUCCUUAAAUUAAAGAAUACUAGAAAAUUAAAAUAAAGUUUAAUCACAAAAAUCAUUAAUUCUCAAUAAAUAAGAACAUAAACACUAAUAAUAAACUUCCACAAACAUGACAUCAACAGGUAAAUUCAAAGAAAGCAAAUAAAAAAAAUUAUGUGAGUGCCAUUUAGUUAAAAUAAUAAAAUUUCUUUAAGUAAAAAAAUGUAUCCUUUGACUUAUAAUUAUUGAGAUGAUAAUUUUCUAUCAAAUGGUGUUUUUUGUUUUUCAAUAGGUUGAUUGCUCAUUAAUUUCAAGAUGGAGGAUCAAUGUCAAUAAAUCCCAUCAAAAUAAAAAAACGGAGUAUUAUUUAUGCUACAAUAUCAAUAUAGCACACAAAAUGUUAAUUUUAUUUAUAACAAGGAUUUAUAAUUUCUGUCACAAUAAUAUUUUAUCAGUGGCGAAAUAUUAUUUUUCAUAAUUAUUAAUUAUUUCCUUCCAAUGGGCUAGGUAACUAUGCCCUCAAAAACCAUCCUAACAUUAUUACUAUAAUUUUCCUUAAUUUAAAUACAAAAACAACAAUAUGGAUUUGGUGUUUUUCUUAUUACAGUUAGAAACAUAAAAGCGGUAAUUAUGUAAGUAUAAUAUGAGUUCAUAAAUUAAAAAAAAAAUGAUUUCAUUUCAUCAAACACUAAUUUCAUCUCAUUUAAUUAUUUACAGUAGCAUUUAUUUAAUUCAGAUUUGUUUUUACAUGUUGUUUUCUUUUUCUAACUGUUAACAAUUGAUCACGCCGUGAACAAUUUAAUAAUAACCUUUCACUUAUUUUUUUUUUCAUUUAUUUCAUUUGACAAGUUUGAGUUUUGGGGUUUUGUUCAUGACUCAUGGGUAAACCAUACCCAACUCAUAAUGAAAUGGUUUUUUUUAUAUAUAAAACCCACAUUUAACCCAUUUUCAUAAUUUACCCAACUCAAACCAUUUAAUUUGGUUUGGAUUUGGUAAACCCAUGAAUUGUGGGUUUAUGCCCACCCGUAUUAGUAUUUGUGAUUUAUUAUGUUGUGUUACUAAUAUCAAGCCUGGACUUUUUAAUUUAUAAGUAAAAAAAUAUCAAAUUAAAAACUCAAAUAUUAUAUUAAUAUAUUUUUUUAUUUAAGCAUAUAUUAUCUAUUUUGUUGGGUUACUAAUAUUUUAAAUAUUUGACUAUUAUUCUAUUAUGUAUAGAAUAAUUAUCUUUAAUUUAAUUUUUUUUACUUCAUUAAAAAUUUAUUUAAAAAAUAAUGAAGGCCCAAGCCUGCCCAGUCUAAGUUUGGAUGGGCUUUUGAAUGGCAUGGGCUUAUUCUCAACAAGUUGGGCCUUGGCCUAGGCUUUAAAAGGCUCAGUUCAAGCCUAUAGAAUGGCAGCAAGACAGCCUUUGUAGAUUUUUAGGGGCUUUUUGCUGUGUUCUAAAGUCAAAACAGCUCCUAGCAAAUUUUUGGACUAUUUUGUUUUGAAAACAUUUUUUAGGAUUGUUGAGAAAAGAGGAGAAUAACAUUAGUAUUUUUUUAGGAGGCUUGAUGAUGAGUUUGAUAAAUUUGGCAAGUUUUACUAGACUAAAGUGAAAAAAGUUUAUGUUGAGGCUGAAAGUUUAAGUGUGCAAAUGCACAUUUUGGUUGCUCUCGGGAUAAAAACCAAGAAAUUGGAAGGAGUUCUGCAGGAUUCUGUACAAUUCAAGCCUGAAGAACAAAAGCAUGAAAGCAGGAUGAUUUUGAAAAUUCUUGAAUAGUAAAUAUCUCAACUUGCUUUUAUACUAUAUCUGUGGCAUUAUUUUUGAAGUUUAACAAUAUUAAUCUUGCGAUUAACACUUUAAUGCAAACAACGAAUACACUCAGGAUGAACUUAAUGAGGUUCUUUUGGAGUGGGCUAACCAUUUUUUCCACAUCCUUAUCACAUUUGCAAAAUAGUUAGUAUGAGUAUGAAACUGUAGAUGGACCUUGUUAUUAGUUGUUACAAUUUGUUGAAAUUAAAGUUGUAGUGUUAAACUAUAAUGGUUGUUGUUAAGGAUUGCGGUAUAGAUGUUAUGCAUUUGAUAAUAUUAGGUAUUUUGAUUGAUUUUGGUGUAGAUUGGGUUGCUAGGUAUAGGUCAGAGUGCUGUUGUGCAUAUCGCUAAAAUUAGAACGCUGUUGGAAGAUGGUGGGUUGUUACGUAUGAUUUGGAGUAUUAGUUGGAGUGUUGCUGGGUAUGCGGCUGGAAUUAUGAUCAAGAUGCAUGAGCCUUAAGUGGGUGAAUUUGAGGUUGGAUUUUAAAGUUCACUGAAGCACUCAACUACUUACAACAACUCCUAAAUGCAAAUGAAGUAAUUACUGCCAUAAUAAUGGAUGUAUCGUUCAAAUUUUUAUUCUGGGACAAAGUCAUCUGGGUUUCAACUAUAAAUAAAAUCUGCAUUUGCAUAUAGUCUCAAUGUCUCCAAUGGCUGAUAUUUAGAAACUAUGUCCAGCUCAGUUUCGGUGUUGAUGCAUUGACCAAUUAAAUCAACGAUAAAUAGAUUACUAGCAAGAUUAACAUUAUGAUAACCUUGAAAAUAAUCGUCUGAUGAUUAUUAAUCCAUUAGAGGUAUCAUUUCUACUGAUAGAGAUGUUUCCAAGAAAACCAAGUUCAGUUUUUUUUGGUGAAAAUAAGUCCUGAAAAAUAACUUAGUACCUUCGCUUUAGAAUUGACAUUUGUGGAUCAGGAAUUGGCUUGGAACACAAGAGAAGGGUUUAGAUAAUUAGCACUCGCAAAUAAUACAACUCGUAUUAUUGAAAAAAUAAUAAUAAUAACUCGUAUUCUGACUUUGAUUGUUUACUAAGUGUGAAUUUACAAAAGUUAUGUACAUAAUGAAAUAGCUAGCUAUAAGAGAUUUAAUUACAUAACUACAGAAAUACAGCUGGAGUACAUAAUCUGCUUUCCUAAACUAUAAAAUAGGUAAUGAAAUACUUCAUUUUUAAUGAUACAUGAUAUUCUAAAUUCUUGAUACUGAAAUUCAAUGACAGCCUUGACUUGUGCAAGCUAUGCUGUGUGUUUUAACCGUUGGCGAAUUUUCUUUUAUUGAUCAUUUACAGCUUGCUUAUUAGUCCCCCUCAAGUUGGCAAGUGACAUAUGAUCUGGAUUCUACGGGUUUGUCAGAAAUUGCGAAACAUGACUUUCGAGAGAGCUUUGGUGAAUACAUCGACAAUUUCCAAGGAAGAAGGAACUAGUUUUGUCACCAUCGAAGGGACUAAUUUUUUCACCAUCAGACCUUCUGCAACCUUUCCUCGAAGAAAGUGAUAAUCAACCUCUAUAUGCUUAGAGCGAGAAUGGAAGAUAAUAUUAAUAGUCAUAUAUAAAGCACUUAAAUUAUCACUAAGCAAUUGAGGAGCUUGAGCAAGAGAAAUCCUUAUUUCACGAAAGAGAUAUGUGAUCCAUGUUAGCUCAGUUGCUGUCAAAGCAAGUGCCUCUUAUUCAACCUCUCCAUUGGGUCUAGAUACUGUAGGUUGCUUUUCAGAGGACCAAGAGAUACAUUUAAGACUUCGGGGUAACUUACUUUCAAUUCUCUGUCUAUGGUGUUAUCCCAUCACAAUCAAGUGGGAGAUAUUGGAAUUGGUGCCCAUGAUGGGCUAGAUAGGCCCAAGAAAGGAAACAUCUAGAAGCUUAUUUUAUAUAGAGUUUAAUAUGACUAUUGCAAGUCUAAUUAGACUUUGAGAGUUAUAAAGUCUUUUGAUUGACUUCAAUCACUCUUAUUAGCUCCCAUAUAAACAUACCUAUUGUAUCUAGAAUAGAUGUGUAUGAUUCCACACACAUGCAAUGUUUUAGAAUGAGCCAACUAUAUGCUUGAUUUCUUCAAGCUAUGCUUAUAUAUAUUUAAAAAUUGAGAGCUGCUUGCUUACAUUCGAUGGUCGUUCGGUGGCUAUAUAAAAUGCAAAAAAUUUUAACAGUUGCUUCAUUUACCAAAUUUGAGAACCGAGAGCAAACACAGGAAAAUGGAACAGAAAUAAGAAAGUGGAAAAGGGAAAAGAGAAGAAAAAGAAAAUAAGAAAAAUAAGAAAGAAGACGAAUAUGGGAAAAGAGAAAAAGAAAGGAAAAGGAGAAAAAAUAUUAGGGGAAAUAGAAUUAGAUAGUUAGAUCUACAUUAAGUGAGUUAGUGGGUAAUAGAUUUAUGAAAUUUAAGUAGUUAUGAUUUAAUUUGUCUUAUACGUAUAAGUUUUUAUAUUAGUUCUAAUAGUUAAUUUUGAAUCAUGUAUUUUAGGAGAAAUCCAAGAAUCUAAGAACCCACAGCAGCCCCAACGAACCCGGAGUGAAACAAGCUCUGUAGGGAUACUAUUAUUACUAUUAUGUAUUCCAUGAAGCAUUUAUGUUUAGUAGUAUGAUUUAAUAUAAUGUUAUGAUUACACGUACAAAUAUUAUAUGUUUGAUUAAGUUAUAAAAUGUGAUUGCCAAUCGCCAUAUAUGUGCCCUUCCUUAUAAACUUCGUGCAUGCAUAUUCAGAGUUAGACUACUCUGCCCGUGCGAUGUAGUUAAAUUCCAUUGGGUAUUGAGAGGUUUUUGCCCGGCUCUACUCAUGCGAUGAUGAUCCCAGUAAGUAUUGAGAGUUAUUUCCUUGGGUAUUAUUUGGUGCAGUUUUGUCAUGUAUGUAUUAUUUCCUAUGUUUACAGAUGCAUUACUUAUUAUUAUUAUUAUUAUUAUUAUUAUAUAUAUAUAUAUAUAUGGUUGCAAGCUCAUUAUUUUCGUAUUUAUCCCUUUUCCGCCAGGAUUUCGCAAGAUUUCGUGCUAAUCAAUUCUAGUCAAUUAAAGUUGGGCCACGAGACGUAUUGCCUCAUGACUUGCAUUUUGAGCACGUUUAUGUUACUUAUGUUUUUAUGUAUAUAUAUGUGUAGGGUAAGUAUAUAUAGUGAGAUAUGAAUUGUGUAAGUUUUUAAUAUAUAUUUUUGGAUGAGGUAUAGAGGUUGUUAUGUGUUUAUAGUGGAGACCAUUUUUAUAUAUUCAUGAAUUAAAUUUGUGCCGCGAGUUAUAGUUAUUAGAUCGUAUGAUUCACCUUGGAUCUGACAUAUAGGUGAGGCAAGCUGAGUCAUGUGAUAAGGGUGUGACAGAUAUGAAAACAUGAAGAAGAUAUUAGAAAACACAGGGAUUGAAAACAAGAGAAAAUGGCAGUGGGCUCUGGCAAUGUGAUACGAGGGGAUUUUCUUUUAUUAUAAUUAUCCUCCAACUAUAAACAUACAGUAGCGUGAUGGUUUUCUUUGAGAUUAUCCUUUGUCUCUAAUCAACUUGACAUGAUAUAACUUAUUGUGAUCUACUUCCGCAUUCAAGGAUCAAAAUGUAUGUUUUUGGAUAUCCUAUUAACUGUAUGUUGAAUAUGUACGAAUAUCAACACUUAUCGUUUUGAAGCUAUCAAAAGAUAGACUAUAGUUUGCAAUAAGAACAAUGUAGGUUGAGAUUUGUCAGUAGAAAGAACUUAGACAUAAAUUUUAAUGAAGAUGCCUAACUUUGAAAAUUUCAUAUACGUUUAGUGAACGAAAAAGUCUGCAUGUAUUUAAAAUAGCACAAAAUUUAAUGAAAAAAUUCUUCGUGUUCAGUAUUAACUCCAAUUGCAGAAAUGCAGGGUUGAGCAAUUACUAAUAUUCUGGUAGUUGCGACUUCUAGAGAAAUAUAAAUGUGGCGUAAACAAAUGCAAAGAAAAUAUGACACAAUAAUUUACGUGGUUUGGAGUAAGGCCUACGUCCAUGAGCAAACACUGGAAGAUAAUUCUACUAAUAAUGAAAAUUUACAAAAGUGGGAGAAACUCUCAACACCCAAAACUCCAAUACACUCAAAUGGAACCUCACUAGAACACUCAAGUGGAAGCUCUCUUAAAUCUCUUAAAUCGCUUCACUUGCAAUUGCUCUCUACUUCUCUCAAAUUGGGAUGCUUACAAUUGCAAAAUACUUCUCUAUUUAUAGAGAGCAUUUUGCAAAACGUUGAGUCGAAACUUGCAUUGCAUGUAUUAAAGUUAUGCAUAUUUGUCAACAAUUGCACGUGUAAUUUGUUGCCAUCUUCAAUUUUCAGCAUCAUUGUUGGUUGAUUUAUAUAAUCAAUUACUAUCAAUGCCAAUGUGCAAGUAUACACAACAAGUAAUAAAGUGAUAAGUAUUCAAGAUCGUCUCCACAGGGAUUGAUGUUGUUCAAAAUGCUUAAGCAAUCGCAAUAGUGCAAAUCAACUAAAGAUCGAAACAAGCAAUUGUCAAAUAAUUCUAUCGCAAUUAUUAAUUUCGAUAGAUGGAAAUAACACAAUACUGUAAUGAAAUAAACUAAGUUAAAUGUGUCUAAGGUUCAAUUGAGAAUAUAGUAGUUGAAUGAUCAAACUAUCCUAAUGGGGUGACUGUUGAUUACCGAAUUAGUACCAGUUGUUACAAUAAGUGCUACAGCACUGGACAGAAUAAAUUUGCAUUCGCAACUAUCGCAUGUUAGAAAUCUCGUACCUUUAAAUCUACUAACAAUGACCAGUUGCUCAUAUAUUUAAGGUAUGGCUUUAUAAUCCUUAAUCUCGCUGCCCUACAAGGUGAACACCUAUGUCUAGGAUAUCACAAAUCUUAAUUUCAAGUAUUGCCCUUAUGGGAUUUAAGUUAACCUAAUCCAGGAAACUUGAUUUAAGAACAAGUAAUACUCUAAUAAUGUUCUCUAAGACAUGCCCUUUUGCUGCUCUAUCUUAACUGAAACUAUUAAAUGAGUGGUCAACUGAAAUAACAGUUAUGCUCAUAAAAACUAUUAGAGUAUAAUGCUACAGCAAUACCAUAACAACCUAUAAGAACAGUCAAGAACCCAUUGGAUUAUUUGUCACUCAACUACAUAUAAAUUUAGUUCAUAUUCUAAAUGAGAAAAGUAAACUUAAAUAUACUGAUCACAGGAUACAUCCAAACAAUUUCAAAGAAGAAAGAUAAUAUGAGUUGAGCACGGUGAAAGACUAGAGAAUCUCCUCGGCUCUUCAAUGAUGUUGAACAGUCCUCCUCAAUCUUGAUCUUCUUCUUCUUCUUGCCUUUGUAAUUAUUUGGAUGGUAAUCUCUCUGCCACUUUCUAUGUGGUCCAUACCUCCUUUAUAUAGUGUAAAUUAGGUUAAAACCAAAACCCAUGAGCGUGCAUGUGUUUAAAUUAGGAAACAUGCAUAUCGUGAUUUCAUUGCUGACCCGUGCUUAAUUUUCUCCCGCAUUGCUCCCAGAUUGCUGCAGCACUGGUUGCUCUAACAUCCGCAACAACACUGUAUUAUUCCCGAUUGUACUUUUCUUCUUUUGUGGCCAUCUUCUUUCCUCCUCUUUCUCAUCUAAUGUCUUCACAUCCCCUCAUGAAUUUAAAACCUACAAUUUAAAACCUGUUUUUAGCACAAAUUACUAUGAUUCAAGCAAAACUUGUUAAAACUCAACUAAAAUGAAUGUUUAUGCAAAAGGUCACCAAAAUGUAAUCAAAACACAUUAUUUGCUCUCUAAAUGGCCUUUAUUCAAGUCUAGAAUUGAUGUAAUAACUCUCAUUUCCUAGAGUUAUCACACCUCCAAACUUAAACUAUUGCUUGUCCUCAAGUAAUGACACAUACUAACAUUUCCCACAAACAAACAUGCACACAACUUUAGCCCAUAGUAAAUCGGUUAUAGACUUAAGCUUCUUUCUGUCCAUAGUGUGUGUGUGCUUCCUUUUUUAUUGAAUUCCAGAUAUGCUGUAACAUCACUAAAGGACUGCAGAAAUUUCAACAGUGAUAUACUUUAUUCAUAAAAGGGGUAGCAUAAAUUUCACAUAUUCAAAUUGUGAUUGCUUUAACAUUGAUAAUCUGGGGGAUAAUCAACCUCCUCACUGUAACAUUUAUUUUUCAUGUGAAUGUCAAUCACUUGUAAUGAUGAUACCCAAUUACUCAAGCCAUGCCCAUAUCAGGGUUGCUGCAGCAAUAUCUGUGGUAUAAUCUUAUCUCAAGGUAUCUUUGACUCAAGGCUGAACAUGGGGCUCAUGAACAGACCUGGCUAUUCAAUGCCUUAAAUAUAUGACUUUUUUUUUAAUUAUAUGCUACCGGACUACUCAUAACUCUCGCUACCUUUUACACAUUUCUGCAUAUGAGGUGCAUACUCAGAUCUGGUUACUCAGCAACUUAAGCCAUUGGAGCAGAGUUUUAUUUCAUGAAUAUCACAGUAAAUCAACAUGCUUCUCCCUUCAAACUUAAGAUAUUUUCUAUUAUUUUGGCUUUGCUCUAGCAGUCUUAUACAACUCAAUCAAAGGCUAAGUGUUGGGAUAAAAUUUCACUUCUAUCUAUAACUAUCUCUACUUGGCAUUCUCAUAACUACUGUAUAGCACUCAAUUUAUCUUCAUUAGGUUUUGAAAUCCAUACACAAAUAACAGAUAAAAGAGCUUCACACAACACAAACAUAAACACAUACAUAAAACACAUGCAUUCGGAAACAACCCCCCCAAACUUGAGAGAUGUUGUGUCCUCACAAGCAAACAAAAUAAAGGCACACAAAUGGACAAAAAUUUUUUUUUUAGAACAAGAAAGAAACUAGUGAGAUAAGAGUACUCCCCUGUGGUGGGGACUGCAGCCCAUGACGGGAUGCUAUCAGCGCUUUUUAGAUGCACUGCGCAGCUUAUCCUUUGGUGAAGCCUUUGGGGAGGUGGCUGGCAACGUCUUUGUCUUUUUCGCUGCAGGGCUGGUGAGAGGAGUUGUGGCUGGGGUUGCUGUAGCAGUUCCUGUAGACGUACUGCCUUUUCGUUUGCUGGGUUGUCUUGGACUGGUGCGGAUAGGCUGGCUAGGAGUUUGCUGUGGAGGCUUUUGAGUCAAUGCGUCAGCUGCUUGGCCCUCGGCUAUGAUGGCAGCAAUUACCUCAAGUAGUUGUGUGGCUUGCUCAGAUGUAGGCAUAGCUCUGGCUGCUGCAGAAGCCAGCUCAACAUCGACUUGAUCCAUCUCAUCUUCAGAGGCUAGAGGUGUUGCCAUUUUUGCUUUACCCUUGUCAUUUCCUUUGCCUACAAAGACUGGAAUAGAAGGUUCCACAUCAAGGUCUUUAUUCUCCUCUUCUUGAAUAAUGUGCUGCUUCCUAGUUUUGGACUGGGUUGGGAUGGGUGGUUCCUCACGUUCUUGCUCCGAAUUAGCCUCUGCCUCUGAGGGUGAGCUAUCAGUCUCAGACUUGUCACCUUCUUCCUCAGGUGGAUCAGAUGGCUCAGCAUCUUCUGAGUCAACUUCUGCUGGUGGUUCAGUGGCAGCUUGUUCUGCUGGUUCAUUUGAAGCAAUAGCUUCUUCACUGGUUUCUGCUGAAGCACCUGUAGUGCUGGUGUCAAAAUUAUACUGCUGGAGCAGGGAAACAGGGAAGUUUUGGUGAGUACAUUUCAUAUACAAAGCAAAUUGGUGUAGUUGGCCAUCCAGGUGUUGUAGAUAACUCCAAAACCGAUCAGACUUGUCACAUUCUUCCUCAGGUGGAUCAGAUGGCUCAGCAUCUUCUGAGUCAACUUCUGCUGGUGGUUUAGUGGCAGCUUGUUCUGCUGGUUCAUCUGAAGCAAUAGCUUUUUCACUGGCUUCUGCUGAAGCACCUGUGGUGCUGGUGUCAAAAUUAUACUGCUGGAGCAGGGAAGCAGGGAAGUUCCGGUGAGUACAUUUCAUAUACAAAGCAAAUUGGUGUAGUUGACCAUCCAGGUGUUGUAGAUAACUUCAAAACCGAUCAUUUUCCCUCUACUGAGCUUCCACACAUUGAUUGAUAUUGGUGCUGAGUGACUGGAUGGUCUGUUCUAAGCUAAGAGUUCGUCGUGCUCCUGUGACAGCAGCUGGUUCAGUGGUUGUUGCAACACUCUCGCCAGCAACUCUCUCAAUUGUACGUGCCAUAAAGGCAUCCUCAUUCUUGACAUGAUAAUCGCUGGCUUCAAGACAAACACCUGAAACUACACAAAUGCUGGUGACAAGGGAAGGAAAUAAUAAGACAGCAGUUCGGUGAGUUUUGACUGCACACUCUCGGAUUUCUUUUAGAAAUGAUGCUACUCACAUCUAUGGAAAGCCCUAUAACAAGGACAUAUAGCAAAACCAAUCUUUCUUAUGAAACCGUAGUAGUGUGAGUGGUGGGCAUAAGCCUCGAUUUCAAAAAUUUCACCCACACCUUAGCAAUAGGUUUCAAAUCUAUCCUAUUAACUACACGCCCUUCCUCGUUAGCCCAUGAUGCCCUUCGAUGGUAAGAGUUGUAAAAAUGGUGGUCCACUUUUUCGGGGUUAACUUCUCACACAAUUUAGCAUACUCACAAGUAAUUUCAGCAGGUAAAUUAUAAAAAGCAUUGAUAACACGAGAGUCUAAUGGAACAAGUGUGUUUCUUACCCAGAUGUUACACUGAUCAGGUCUUACAGAAUUGGCAUAAAAUUCUUUUACUACCGACAGUACAGGAUUGCGAGGGUGUUUGCAAAACUCUAGCCAUCCUCGCUUUGCUGCAGCAUUAUGAAUUGUGUACACAAUUCCCGUGAGUUGGUCUGGAAAUUGAAACCCUUUUUCUUCUAGAAUCCUACGCGGCUUUAUGAAUUCUUCGUAUUUUUCUUCGGCGUGGUAACUCUGGAACCGUGAUGGAUCUUUGAGGCAGCUUGUUGUUUUCUUAUAUCUCGGCAUUGCUAUAGCAGUAACAAAUUAAGGCUACUGUUCCUGAGAGUAAAAAGAGAAGAAGAGGUUAAGAAUUAGGAGAGUUAGAUUUGUGGAGGAGAUGGUGAAUAGUGGCGUAGAGCACUAAGCACAGUGACUCCUUUUUAUAGUGGACUUGCAAUUGAAGAUAAAUACGAUAACUAAAGAUAAAUGAGGGAAGAAAAUAUUUUUAAAUUGAUGCACAAAUCCCAAAAAUAUCGGCUAGUAAAAUUUGGCAUUAAUUUCAAAAAUUUAUUAGUAAUUGCUAUCCAUAUCCAAGCGUCCAUCUGUCACGAUUUCAUCUCCAACGGUAAGUGAAAGGCUCCAGCUUUUAAUUUUUUGUAACGGUAAAAUUAGUUGCUGCAGCACCCAUUUGCUUAUUCCAACAACGGAUACAGACUCCAUACCAAAGCGUCUGACACGUGGUUUUGCCUCUGAAUUCUGCCACCAUACACUUUCAAUUGUCACAAUGGAAGUCAAUUGUCACACAUACUUUCCAUAAAUUCAAAUUAGUUCGAGCAUCUAAAAACAAAGAAAUCAAAUAAUAGCAAAAGUAAAUAAAAUGCAAUAAUUUGAAAAAAGAUAAUAAAUAGCUAGAAUGAAAUAACAAAAAUUUAAAUAAUAUGGUAAAAAGGGAGAGCUGUCAACUAAACCAAUGGAGGUCAAAAUUGGUUUGAAAUGGUUGUCUCCCCAAAGGGCUGCCUCCCAUAGAGCGCUUGAUUUAAGGUCUUUCAGCCUGACCUUCCUUCAUUGUUUAAUAGCUGGGUUCUUUAAGGAGUAACACCUCCUUUAAACCUUCUGCUGCUGGAUGUAUGUAAUGCUUAACCCUGUGUCCAUUAACCUUGAAUUCGUGGCCUGUUUGUUCAUCUACAAGAUCAACAGCUCCAUGAGGGUAAGAUUUUAACAGUUUAAACGGGCCAGACCAAUGUGACUUGAGCUUUCCCGAAAACAAUCUUAGUCUUGUAUUGUGGAGCUACACUAAUUGACCAAGGGUGAAUUUCCUGUGUUGAAUAUGCUUGUCGUGCCAGUGUUUUGUUCUCUCUUUGUAGAUUCUUACAUUUUCAUUUGAAAAUAGCCGUAAUUCAUCAAGCUCACAAAGUUGAAGCUUCUUUUGCUCUGCUGUAGCAUGCUUGUCCUAAUUUAGUUUCUACAGUGCCCAUUGUGCUUUAUGCUCUAGCUCUAGGGGCAAAUGACAAGCCUUGCCAUAAACAAUUCGGUAAGGAGACAUACCGAGUGGAGUUUUGUAUGCUGUUCUGUAGGCCCAUAAAGAGUCAUGCAAAUGUAAAGACCAAUCCUUCCUUGUUGGGUUCACCACUUUUUCUAAGAUCUUUUUAAUUUCUUUGUCGGACACUUCAGCCUGACCAUUGGAUUGUGGGUGAUAUGUUGUUGCUAUCUUGUGUCUGACUCCAUAUUUCAUCAUUGCUGCAGCAAAGAUUUUGUUGCAAAACUAUGUGCCUUCAUCACUAAUAAUUGCUCUAGAAGUACCAAACCUGGAGAAAACAUUUUUUUGAAGAAAAGUCACCACGAUUUUAGCAUCAUUGGUAGGUAAUGCUGUAGCUUCCACCCACUUGGAGACAUAAUCUACAGCAACAAGGAUAUAUAAGUUCCCAAAGGAUAGGGGAAAAGGUCCCAUGAAAUCUAUUCCCCAAACAUAAAAAACUUCAACUUCCAAUAUGUUGGUCAAUGGCAUCUCAUGUCUGCUGGUUAUGUUCCCUGUCCUUUGACACCUGUCACAACAUUUAACAAAUUCAUCAGCAUCUGUAAAAAUAGUGGGCCAAUAAUAACCUGAUUGCAUAACUUUGGUAGCUGUUCUGUGACCACUAAAAUGUCCUCCAUAUGCUGUAACAUGACAUGACUCCAGUAUAUGAGGUAUUUCUUCUGCUGCAACACAUCUUCUUAUUACUUGAUCUGAGCAUAGCUUAUGUAAAUGUGGGUCAUCCCACUGGUAGCUUCUAACAUCAUUAAGAAAUUUAUUUUUCUCUUGGAACUUCAGCUCAGGUGGUAGCAACCCACUUACUAGAUAGUUAGCAAAGUCUGCAUACCAUGGAGAUUCUGACUGCUGCAGCAUCUAUGCUUGCUGUACUACCAAUAGUUGUUCAUCAGGAAAAGUUUCAGUGAUGUCCUUCCUUGUCAAUGUACUAGUGUCUGCUUCCAACCGUGACAAGUGGUCUGCCACUUGAUUUUCAAUUCCCUUUCUAUCUUUAAUUUCCAGAUCAAAUUCUUGAAGCAAUAAGAUCCAUCUGAUUAAUCUUGGUUUGGCAUUCUUCUUUGAAAUUAAAUAUUUAAUGGCUACAUGAUAUGUGUAAACAGUUACUUUAGUGCCCACCAGGUAAGCUCAGAAUUUGUCAAAAGCAAAAACUACUGCCAGCAACUCUUUCUCUGUAGUGGUGUAAUUGAUCUGAGUUAGAGUGAAAGUUUUGCUUGCAUAGUAUAUGGAAUGAAAAACCUUAUCCUUUCUUUGCCCUAAUACUACUCCCACAGAAUGAUCACUAGCAUCACACAUCAAUUCAAAUGGUAAAUUCCAAUCUAGGGAUAUAACUACUGGAGCAGUGAUCAAGGCUUUCUUUAAUUCUCCAAAUGCUUGAAGGCACUCUUUGUCAAAGUGAAAUGGUUUGUCAUGCUCUAGCAAUGAACACAGAGGCUUGGCUACUUUGGAAAAACCUUAAUGAAUCUUCUGUAGAAUCCAGCAUGACCCAAAAAACUCCUAAUACCCUUUACUGAAGUUGGGGGUGGCAGUUUAUCUAUUACCUCUAUUUUGGCUUUGUCUACCUCAAUACCAUCCUUGGAUAUCUUGUGACCCAGUACUAUGUCUUCUUGCACCAUGAAAUGGCACUUUUCCCAAUUGAGUACUAAGUUGGUCAUCUCACAUCUUUUAAGAACUUCUUCCAAGUUGUGUAAACAAUUACUGUAUGUUUCUCCAAAAACUGAGAAAUCAUCCAUGAAAACUUCCAAAGUCUGCUCUACCAUAUCAGAAAAUAUAGACAUCAUGCAUCUUUGAAAAGUUGCUGGAGCAUUGCAUAACCCAAAUGGCAUUCUUCUGAAGGAAAAUGUUCCAUAAGGACAGGUAAAUGUAGUAUUCUCUUGAUCCUCUUGUGCUAUAGCAAUUUGGUUGUAGCCUGAAUACCCACCUAAAAAACAUUAGUAUUUUUUUCCAGCGAGUCUGUCCAACAUCUGAUCUAUGAAUGGAAGUGGGAAAUGGUCUUUCCUUGUGGCUUUGUUGAGCUUCCUGUAAUCCAUACACACUCUCCAUCCAGUCACUGUCCUUAUAGGAAUAAGUUCAUUCUUCUCAUUAGCCAUUACUGUUAUCCCUCCUUUUUUUGGAAGACACUGAACUGAGCUUACCCAUGAACUGUCUGAUAUUGGGUAUAUGACUCCAGUAUCUAACCAUUUAAUGAUUUCCUUCUUCACCACUUCUUUCAUAAUAAGAUUCAACCUUCUCUGGUGCUCCACCGAAUUGCUGGAACAGUCUUCUAACAGGAUUUUAUGCAUCUAUAUUGAUGGGCUGAUCCCCUUUAUAUCUGCCAUGGUCCAUCCAGUUGCUUUUUUGUAUUUUCCCAGCAAAUCUACUGGGCUUUGUUCUUGACCUGCAUCCAAAGUAGAAGAAAUGAUUACAGGGAGUGUGUUGUUUUGACCAAGAUAAGCAUACUUAAAAUGUGAAGGUAACAAUUUUAAUUCAAAACUAAGAGGUGAUUCAAUAGAUGGUAAAGUUAUUUUUACUUCCCUGUCUGAAAGAUUCAGGUGUUCAAUAACCCUGUUGUGCCUACUAAAUUGCUGUUUGUCCAUCCAAUCUGUUUGAAUUGCUGCAAUAUCUUCCUCUUCAACCUCUUCAAAGGUGGUGACUUUGUUAAGUACAUUACUGCAGCAUCUGUCUAUUCUUUCUGCUACAACAAGAUCCACUACACUUAGGAAAUUGCAAUCUUCUAUUUCAUCAGGGUUUCUUAUAGCCUCUAGUACAUUAAAUGUGACUUACUGAUCAUUCACUCGCAUGGUCAGCUCUCAUUUCUGCACAUCUAUCAAAGUCUUCCCAGUUGCUAGAAAAGGUCUGUCAAGUAUAAUGGGUACCUCUUUGUUAGCUUCAAAGUCCAGCACAAUGAAAUCCACUGGAAAAAUGAAUUUGUCAAUCUUCACCAGUACAUCCUCUAUCUUUCCCUCACGAUAUGCAUGAGAUCUGUCAGCUAAUUGCAGAGUGACAGUUGUUGGUCUGCACUCCUCUACUCCAAGCUACUUAAAUAUAGAUAAUAGUAUCAAGUUAAUACUAGCUCCCAAAUCACAAAGCGCUCUGCCAGCAUACCUAGUCCCUAUAGAGUAGGGUAUUGUAAAACUCCCUGGAUCUUUCAAUUUUUAGGGAAUUUUAUUAUGGAGCAUAUGGCUGCUUUCCUGUAUUAAAGCAACACUUUUAAACUCUCCCAGCCUUUUUUUUCGUGCCAAUAUAUCUUUUAGAAAUUUCACAUAAUUUGGCAUUUGCUCCAAAGCUUCACCAGUACAUCCUCUAUCUUUCCCUCAGGAUAUGCAUGAGAUCUGUUAGCUAAUUGCAGAGUGACAGUUGUUGGUCUGCACUCCCCUACUCCAAGCUGCUUAAAUACAGAUAAUGGCAUCAAGUUAAUACUAGCUCCCAAAUCACAAAGUGCUCUGCCAGCAUACCUAGUCCCUAUAGAGCAGGAUAUUGUAAGACUCCCUAGAUCUUUCAAUUUUGUGGGAAUUUUACUCUAGAGCAUAUGGCUGCUUUCCUAUGUUAAAGCAACAGUUUCAAACUCUCCCAGCAUUCUUUUUCGUGCCAAUAUAUCUUUUAGAAAUUUCAUAUAAUUUGGCAUUUGCUCCAAAGCUUCCACAAAAAGUAUGUUUAUGUGCAGUUGCUUCAGCACUUCCAGGAAUUUACUGAACUGCUUGUCUUGUUUUUGCUUCUGGAACCUUUGAGGGAAGGGUGGUGGAUGUCUAAACUACUGGUUAGAUUCAGUAGGUAUCAACUCUGUUUGUUUAAAUUGGUGCAGGUUGUGGCUACUGGUGUUGCAACUUCUUUUUCAGCAGGAUCUGGUUGAAUUUAUUUUACAGUUGCUGUAGCUUGGUCCCUUACAUCAGUGUCUUGAUGGGGAGUCUGCUAUAACAUGCUUCCAUUUUGAGUUGGUUUUUGAGCUGAAUUGCAUUCCAUCCCAUUUUUUGUCACCUCAAUUGGGAUAUCAACAUUCUUUCCAGAUCUCAAACUGAUUACUUUGCAGUGUUCUUUGCUCUCUCUCCUAGGGUCUUCUGUAUUGCUAGGUAAGCUUCCUUGAGUUCUGCUGCUCAUUGCUGUAGCUAAUUGUCCCAUUUGGUUCUCAAGGUUUCUUAAGGACACAGCUUGACUCUGCACAAUUGCUUUAUUCUUUGCAAUGUACUCCUUGAUUAGUACUUCUAAUGAAGUGAUUGGAUCCUGACUGACAUGCUUUUGCCCUUGACUUUGUUGAUGAAAACCAGGUGGUUGCGGUUGUGUGCUUCUACUUAGUCCAUUCAAUGCUGGAGUAUUUCGAUUCUGAUUGCUCCAUGAGAAAUUUGGGUGUUGUUUCUAGCCUGGGUUGUAAGUAUUUGAAUAUGGGUUGUUAUGAGGUUGUCGAUUGAAGUUACCCACAUAAUUUACUGAGCCUGGAUUUCCAAGACAAUUAUCAAAAUCAUGUUCUUCACCAUAGUAGACAUAAGAAAGUUCAGCAACUUGCUUUACUGUUGCUGGAGCAGAUAUCAUGGCUUUUACCAUGUUAGUCAAUGAGGUUACUUGAGCUGAUAAGGCUGUAAUUGCAUCAAUGCUAUGUACCCCUGCGGAUCCUUUUGCUAUUGGUUGCCUGGCUGAAGGCCACUGGUAAUUAUUAUUGGCAAUUCUUUCCAAAAUUUCAUAAGCUUCAGUGUAGGAUUUGGAUAACAGAGCUCUAUUUGCUGAAGUAUCCACCAUUAACCUUGUACUCGGAUUCAACCCAUUGUAGAAAGUUUCCAAUUGAAUGCAACAAGGAAUACCAUGAUGAGGAUACCUUCUGAGCAAGUCCUUGAACCUUUCCUAAGCCUCGUACAAACUCUCAUGUUCAAGUUGAUGGAAUGAGGUAAUCUCAUUUCGUAAUUUUGCAUUCUUUGUCGGUGGAAAAUAUUUCAUUAGGAAUUUAUCAGCCAAUUCAUUUCAUGUAGUGAUGGAAUCAGAUGGUAAUGAAUUUAACCAUGCCCUUACUCGAUCUAUUAAAGAAUAAGAAAAUAGCAUUAGUCUUAAGGCAUCUUGUGUUGCUCCAGCAAUCUUUAAAGCAUCACUUACUUCCAAGAACAAUUUAAGAUGGAGAUGAGGAUCUUCAUUAGGCAGUCCAUUGAACUGUCCCACUGUUCGUAACAUUUGAAACAUCAUUGGUUUUAACUCAAAAUUUACAGCGUCUACUUCAGGUCUGAUGAUGCUAGGUUGUACCACUUGUGAAGUUAGCACAACACUAAUGCACCGGAUCCCAUCAGAACUCCACAGUUAAGCGUGCUUGGGCGAGAGCGGUACUCAGAUGGGUGACCACUUGGGAAGUCCCCAUGUUGCACCCCUCAUUUUGCUUUUCGGUUGGUUAAUUAUCUUUUCGCGGCCGACUCCUUCACUUUUGCGUGCGUUCGCGGGUUUCGAUCGCCGGCACGGGGUCUCCGGGGCACCUCCGACCCGCCGGAGAGCGUGAAAAGUGCCCCGGAUGGGUGAAUCGUGCGGCCGCGUCAGGGCAGGCGAGGGGGGUACGGGUUCAGUAGAUUUUCAGUGCACAUGCUAAUGGGUGCAACCAUACUAGCACUAAUGCACCAAAUCCCAUCAGAACUUCGCAGUCAGGCGUGCUUAGGCGAGAGCAGCACUAAGAUCGGUGACCUCUUGGGAAGUAAACGUAUUGCACCCCUCAUUUUGUCUUUUCGGCUGGUUAAUCCUCUUUUCGCGGCCGACUCCUUCACUUUUGCGUGCGGUCGCGGGUUUCGAUCGUUGACGCAGGGUCUCCAGGGCACCUCCGACCCGCCAGGGAGCGCGAAAAGGCCCCCGGAGGGGUGCAUCGUGCGACGGCCGAGUCAAAGCAGGCGAGGGGGGCAUGGGUUAAGUAGAUUUGUAGUGCACAUGUUGAUGGGUGCGACCACUAGCACUAAUGCACCGAAUCCCAUCAGAACUUCGCUGUGAAACGUGCUCGGGCGAGAGCAGGACUAAGAUGGGUGACCUCUUGGGAAGUAAACGUGCUGCACCCCUCAUUUUGUCUUUUCAGCCGGUUAAUCCUCUUUUCGCGGCCGACUCUUUCACUUUUGCGUGCGGUCGCGGGUUUCUAUCGCCGGUGCGAGGUCUCCGUUGCACCUCCGACCCGCCGGGGAGCGUAAAAAGUGCCCCAGAGGGGUGAAUCUUGCGGCAGCCAAGUCGGGGUAGGUGAGGGGGGCACGAGUUAAGUAGAUUUGCCGUGCACAUCCUGAUGGGUGUGACCACUAGCACUAAUGCAAUGAAUCCCAUCAGAACGUCGCUGUCAAGCAUGCUUGUGCGAGAGCAGUACUAAGAUGGGUGACCUCUUGGGAAGUAAACGUGUUGCACCCCUCAUUUUGUAUUUUCGGCCGGUUAAUCCUCUUUCGCGGCCGACUUCUUCAAUUUUGCAUGCAGUCGCGGGUUUCAAUCUUCGGUGCGGGGUCUCCAGAGCACCUCUUAAUGCCGGGGAGCGUAAAAAUCACCUCGGAGGGGUAAAUAGUGCAGCGGCCGAGUCGGGGCAGGCGAGGGGGGCACGGGUUAAGUAGAUAUGCAGUGCACAUGCUGAUGGUUGCUACCACUAGCACUAAUGCACCGAAUCCCAUCAAAACUCCGCAGUCAAGCGUGCUCGGGCGAGCGCAAUACGAACAUGGGUGACCUCUUGGGAUGUCCUCGUGUUGCACCCCUCAUUUUGUCUUUUCGACCCGUUAAUCCUCUUUUUGCGGCCGACUCCUUCACUUUUGCGUGCAAUCGCGGGUUUCUAUCGCCGGUGCGAGAUCUCUGUUGCACCUCCGACCCGCCGGGGAGCGUAAAAAGUGCCCCUGAGGGGUGAAUCGUGCGGCGUCCGAGUGGGGCCAGGCGAGGGGGGCACGGGUUAAGUUAAUUUGUAGUGCACAUGCUGAUGGGUGCAACCACUAGCACUAAUGCACUGAAUCCCAUCAGAACUUCGCUGUCAAGCGUGCUCGGGCGAGAUCAGUACUAAGAUGGGUGACCUCUUGGGAAGUAAACGUGUUGCACCCCUCAUUUUGUCUUUUCAGCCGGUUAAUCCUCUUUUCGCGGCCGACUCCUUCACUUUUGCGUGCGGUCGCGGGUUUCUAUCGCCGGUGCGAGGUCUCUGUUGCACCUCUAACCCGCCGGGGAGCGUAAAAAGUGCCCCGGAGGGGUGAAUCUUGCGGCAGCCAAGUCGGGGUAGGUGAGGGGGGCACGAGUUAAGUAGAUUUACCGUGCACAUUCUGAUGGGUGCGACCACUAGCACUAAUGCAAUGAAUCCCAUCAGAACUUCGCUGUCAAGCGUGCUUGUGCGAGAGCAAUACUAAGAUGGGUGACCUCUUGGGCAGUAAACGUGUUGCACCCCUCAUUUUGUCUUUUCGAUCGGUUAAUCCUCUUUUCGCUGCCGGCUACUUCAAUUUUGCAUGCAGUCGCGGGUUUCGAUCGUCGAUGCGGGGUCUCCAGGGCACCUCUUAAUGCCGGGGAGCGUAAAAAUAGCCCCGGAGGGGUACAUAGUGCAGCGGCCCAGUCGGGGCAGGCGAGGGGGGCACGGGUUAAGCAGAUUUGCAGUGCACAUGCUGAUGGUUGCUACCACUAGCACUAAUGCACCGAAUCCCAUCAAAACUCCGCAGUCAAGCGUGCUCGGGCGAGCGCAAUACGAACAUGGGUGACCUCUUGGGAUGUCCUCGUGUUGCACCCCUCAUUUUGUCUUUUCGACCCGUUAAUCCUCUUUUUGCGGCCGACUCCUUCACUUUUGCGUGCAAUCGCGGGUUUCUAUCGCCGGUGCGAGAUCUCUGUUGCACCUCCGACCCGCCGGGGAGCGUAAAAAGUGCCCCUGAGGGGUGAAUCGUGCGGCGUCCGAGUGGGGCCAGGCGAGGGGGGCACGGGUUAAGUUAAUUUGUAGUGCACAUGCUGAUGGGUGCAACCACUAGCACUAAUGCACUGAAUCCCAUCAGAACUUCGCUGUCAAGCGUGCUCGGGCGAGAGCAGUACUAAGAUGGGUGACCUCUUGGGAGGUAAACGUGUUGCACCCCUCAUUUUGUCUUUUCGGUCGGUUAAUCGUCUUUUCGCAGCCGACUCCUUCACUUUUGCGUGCGGUCGUGGGUUUUCAUUGUUAGCGCGGGGGGCAACUCUGACCCGCCGGGGAGUGAGAAAACCGCCCCGGAGGGAGGAAUCGUGCGGCGGCCGAGUCGGGGGAAACGAGGGGGGCACGGGUUAAGAAGAUUUGCAGUUCACAUGCUGAUGGGUGCGACCAUACCAGCACUAAUGCACCGAAUCCCAUCAGAACUCCGCAGUCAAGCGUGCUCGGGCGAGAGCAGUACUAACAUGGGUGAACUCUUGGGAUGUCCUCGUGUUGCACCCCUUAUUUUGUCUUUUCGGCCAGUUAAUCAUCUUUUCGCGGCCAACUCCUUUAGUUUUGCGUGCAUUCGCGGGUUUCGAUCACCGGCGCGGGGUCUUCGUGGCACCUCUGACUCGCCGGGGAGAGCGAAAAGCGCUCCGGACAGGUGAAUCGUGCGGCAGCCGGGACAGGGCAGGCGACGAGGGCACAUAUUAAGUAGAUUUGUAGUGCACAUGUUGAUGGGUGCGACUAUACCAGCACUAAUGCACCAAAUCCCAUCAGAACUUCACAGUCAGGCGUGCUUAGGCGAGAGCAGUACUAAGAUCGGUGACCUCUUGGGAAGUAAACGUAUUGCACCCCUUAUUUUGUCUUUUCAGCCGGUUAAUCCUCUUUUCACGGCCGACUCCUUCACUUUAGAGUGCGGUCGCGGGUUUCGAUCGCCGGUGCGAGGUCCUUGUUGCACCUCCGACCCGCCGGGGAGCGUAAAAAGUGCCCCGGAGGGGUGAAUCUUGCGGCAGCCAAGUCGGGGUAGGUGAGGGGGGCACGAGUUAAGUAGAUUUGCAGUGCACAUCCUGAUGGGUGCGACCACUAGCACUAAUGCAAUGAAUCCCAUCAGAACUUCGCUGUCAAGCGUGCUUGUGCAAGAGCAGUACUAAGAUGGGUGACCUCUUGGGAAGUAAACGUGUUGCACCCCUCAUUUUGUCUUUUCGGCCGGUUAAUCCUCUUUUCGCGGCCGACUCCUUCACUUUUACGUGCGGUCGCGGGUUUCGAUUGUCGGCGCGGGGGGCACCUCUGACCCGCCGGGGAGUGAGAAAACCGCCCCGGAGGGAUGAAUCGUGCGGCGGCCGAGUCGAGGGAAACGAGGGGGGCACGGGUUAAGAAGAUUUGCAGUUCACAUGCUGAUGGGUGCGACCAUACCAUCACUAAUGCACCGAAUCCCAUCAGAACUCCGCAGUCAAGUGUGCUCGGGCGAGAGCAGUUGUAACACCCCAAAUCUAACACGUGCGGAGCACGUGAAGAAGGAGGUUACUCACAAAUCAUAAUCUUUACUCAUAAGUUUCAAACUGAAAUUCCUCCAAUUCUUAUUCAAAUAAAUCCAUAAAUCCAAACGUCAAAUACUAAAUAAUCUCUCUCGAGGACAUAUAAAAAUAAUAACAAAAGUCUCAAACUCCAAAUUACACGUUCAUAAUAAAAGUAACUAAAUAGAAACACAAGUUUAUUCCUCCUUUUAUUCAAUAGCAAACGGAAACUGGAAAUCACUAACUUCAAAGCUCAGUGCACCUCUCAAAAGAAACUUAAUCUGCAAAAAGUAAUGACGAGGGGUGAGCCGUCAACUCGGUAAGUAAAACCAUUCAUAACACACUAGGCCUAUCGAUACCAUAAAUAUUGCAAGCCUUCUUUUGUUUAAAGCAUAUAUCAUAAUCCAUAAUUUUCAUAAAACGAUAUAUCACAAUAACAUAAGAUAAUUUCUUAAUAAUUCAGAAUAUUCAAAAGCAUAUUUACUUACGAAUCAAAUCAUGUAAUACGUAUACAGAAAACAAACAGGUUAGCUCAUGUCACAUAGUGUCACCUAUAGUCCCGGUGACCCGGCCAGAAACAUAAUCAGAAUAUCGUGUGCACACUCAGAACAGAAACCCAGUACUGGUCCAGACGGAUAUAUCGUAUAUUACGAUCAGAAUCAGAAUCAGACUAACUAUGGACAAUGAGCCAAAGCAAUAAGAAUCUCAUACAAUCAUCAAUAAUUGAAAUCAAACAUAGGUACAAAACAUUCGUAUCAGUUUCAUAAAAGUUCAUAUCAAUAAUAUAGGCUUGCAUAACAUUUUAAAGAUAACAUCCUAAAAGGUUGUCAUGUCAUAAAAAUAACUUACAUAUUCAAAAGCAUUUAUAAAAUACUUUGUUAAAAAGAAUGGUUUGAAAACAUUUACAUAAAGCUAAUUUUGUUAUCAAAAUUAGUAAUCCUUUAAGUAGUAUCAAAACAUUUAUACUUAUAAUAAUAAUAUCAAAAUACUUAUACAUAUCUAGUACAUUAGGAAUGAAGUUACUUACCUCGACAAAUGAACUUGGAUUAACACAGCUCUAAGCUUAGGCCACCCAUAAUUCUCAAUGAAAGCCCAAUUUCCAUAAUUUAAUAUGUAUGGGAAUUUGUGGCGUUACAAUUUCUCCCCUCCUAACAAAAAUUUCGUCCUCGAAAUUAAAAGGUUACCUUAUGCAUGGAAGAGUUGAGGAUACUUCUCCAACAUUUCUGCUUCUCUCUCCCAAGUGGCUUCCUCAAUAGAAUGAUUCAUCCAUCGUACCUUCACUAGGGGAAUAACUCUAUUCCUUAAUACUUGUUCGUCUCGAUCGACAAUCUCAAUAGGCUGUUCCUCAUACGACAUGUCUUCAUUUAUCUGAAUCGGUUGAUAGUCUAGCACAUGUAAAGGGUCUGCAAUGUACUUUCUUAACACAGACACAUGAAAUACAUUGUGAAGCCUAGACAGACUUGGUGGUAAAGCUAUGCGAUAGGCCACCGGACCAAUUCUCUCUAAAAUCUCAAAUGGUCCAAUAAAUCUAGGGCUAAGCUUUCCUGUCUUCCCGAACCGAAACACCCCUUUCCAUGGCGAUACUUUCAAGAAAACAAAAUCUCCUUUUUCGAAUUCCAACUCAUGUCUACGACGAACUGCAUAACUCUUCUGUCUGCUCUGAGCUGUUUGAAGACGUCCUCUAAUCAACUUGAUUUUAUCAACAGUAAUCUGUAUUAAUUCUGGACCCAAAAGUUUUCUUUCACCAACUUCAUCCCAGCAGAUUGGGGACCUACACUUUCUUCCAUAUAAUGCCUCAAAUGGUGCCAUGCCAAUACUCGAAUGGAAGCUAUUGUUAUAAGCAAAUUCGAUCAACAUUAGGUGCUCUUCCCAACCACCACUCAAGUCUAGGACGCAAGCUCGAAGCAUAUCCUCAAGGGUUUGAAUAGUCCUUUCGGAUUGCCCAUCUGUCUGUGGAUGAAAAGCAGUGCUAAAUCUCAAUUUCGUCCCCAACUCUUUAUGUAAGCUAGCCCAAAAUCUUGCAGUGAACAGUGGAUCUCUAUCAGACACUAUUGACACUGGAACCCCAUGAAGCCUCACUAUCUCCUUAAUGAACAACUUAGCUAGUUGCCCUACAUUGUCUGUACUCUUCCUUGCCAAGAAAUGAGCUGAUUUCGUCAAUCGAUCAACAAUUACCCAAAUGCAAUCACAUCCCCUCCUAGAACGAGGUAAUCCAGAAACGAAAUCCAUUGUUAUGUGUUCCCAUUUCCACUGAGGAGUAGGAAGCGUUUGUAAAGUUCCUGCUGGUCUUUGAUGCUCAAUCUUUACUUGUUGGCAGACUAAACACCGAGACACAAAAGCAGCAAUAUCUCUCUUCAUAUUCCUCCACCAAAAACUUUGCUUUAGAUCACGAUACAUCUUAGUACUACCAGGAUGCAUACUGUAAGAUGAUUCAUGAGCUUCUCUUAAGAUCUCUGCCUUCAACUCUUCGUCUGCUGGCACGCAUAACCUUUGUCCCAACCAUAAUCCAUCCCCAUUAUCAAGUCUAAAUCCGGGCUUAUGUCCUUUGCUCACAUCUUCACGGAUUUUAUUGAGUUCUAUGUCGUUCUUCUGAGCUACCUUAACUCUAUCAAUUAGAGUGGGUUGGACUGUCAAAUGUGCUAACACGUCUGCUUGCCCAUGAGUAACUACCUCAAUCCCACAUCUCCUCAAGUCUUUUACCACAUGAGAUUGCAUGGUGAUAAGAUGAGCCAUGCACCCAGAUGAUUUCCUACUCAAGGCAUCUGCUACCACGUUUGCCUUACCUGGAUGGUAAUUAAUAGAACAAUCAAAAUCCUUUACCAACUCCAACCAUCUUCUUUGCCUCAAAUUCAAUUCCUUUUGAGUAAACAAGUACUUCAAACUCUUAUGAUCGGUGAAGAUCUCACAAGUCUCCCCAUACAAAUAGUGUCUCCAGAUUUUUAGAGCAAACACUAUAGCAGCCAAUUCCAAAUCGUGUGUUGGGUAGUUUUGUUCAUGAUUCUUUAGCUGCCUAGAAGCAUAUGCUAUAACCUUACCAUGUUGCAUUAAAACGCAACCCAAACCUUUUCUGGAAGCAUCACUGUAAAUCACAAAACCUCCACCUUCAGAAGGGAGAGUUAAAACAGGGGCAGUCACCAAAUAACUCUUGAGCUCUUGAAAGCUCUUUUCACAUGCCUCAUCCCAAUUGAACUUCACAUUCUUCUUAGUCAAAUUAGUCAAUGGUGCUGCUAUGCUAGAAAAUCCUUUGACAAAGCGCCUAUAAUAACCUGCCAAUCCUAAGAAACUCCUUACUUCAGUCACACUAGCAGGCCUUUCCCAAUUCACAAUUACCUCCACUUUGGCUGGAUCUGCUGAAAUACCAUCCUUCGUCACUAUAUGUCCCAAAAACAUCACACGAUCAAGCCAAAACUCACAUUUCUUAAAUUUUCCAUACAACUUCUUCUCCCGCAAUGUUUCUAAUACAAUCCUCAGGUGCGUCUCAUGCUCCUUCUUACUCUUAGAGUAAAUUAAUACGUCAUCAAUAAAGACGAUGACAAACUGGUCAAGAUAAGGUUGGAAGAUCCUAUUCAUCAAAUCCAUGAACGCUGCAGGAGCAUUAGUUAAUCCAAAAGGCAUAACUAAGAACUCAUAGUGUCCAUAACGAGUUCGAAAAGCUGUCUUCGAUACAUCCUCACUUCUUAUUUUCAAUUGAUGGUAGCCAGAUCGUAAAUCAAUUUUAGAGAAUACCGCUGCACCUCGUAAUUGAUCAAAGAGGUCAUCAAUUCGGGGAAGAGGGUAUUUAUUCUUGACGGUAACCACAUUCAACUGCCGGUAGUCUAUACACAACCUCAUUGAACCAUCUUUCUUCUUUACGAACAAAACGGGAGCACCCCAAGGUGACACACUAGGACGAAUGAAACCCUUAUCUAGUAAUUCUUGUAGCUGGAUCUUUAGUUCUUUUAAUUCAAUGGGUGCCAUCCGAUAUGGUGCCUUGGAUAUAGGUGUAGUACCAGGAACUAAUUCUAUAGUAAACUCAACCUCUCGAUCUGGGGGUAGUCCCGGAAGAUCUUCAGGAAAUACAUCAAUAAACUCCCUUACAAUAGGUAUGUCUUCAAGGCACGCCCCAUCGGGAUGGUCAGCAACUAUAUACGCUAAAAAUCCUUCACACCCAUUCUUUAGCAUUUUCAUUGCCUUAACCAUAGAAAUCAAAGCUUUAUGACUCUUAUGAUUCCCUUGAAAAUGAAAUUCUUCCUCGCCAGGUAGGCGAAAAAUAAUUUCCUUAGCAAAACAAUCUAUUGAAACAUGGUAAGGUCCUAACCAAUCCAUCCCCAAAAUAAAAUCAAAAUCGUGCAUCUAUAAAGGUAGGAGAUCCACAAGGAAUUCUCUAUCACACAAUCUGAUCACACAUGACUUAUAGACAUGAUCUAUAAACUGGCAAUCCCCCACAGGGGUACUAAUUGUCACGUGAACAUCCAGUGGUGUGAUAGGCACAUUAGCAUAACGGGCAAACACACAAGAUACAAAUGAAUGUGUAGCACCAGGAUCAAAAAGAACUUUGGCUUAUCUAGAGAAUAAGGACAAUGUACCUGAUACUACAUCAUUGGACACCUCAGCAUCUUUUUCUGUUAGUGCAAAAACACGCCCUUGCACCCUCGGUUUCUUCCUCUGCCCUUCGUUAGUCGGAGUAUUUGUAGUCUCGCUACGUCUCUUUGGGCAAUCCAUAAUCCUAUGCCCAGAUUCUCCACAAGCAAAACAAGCUCCAGUUUUCCAAUGGCAUUCACCAGGGUGCCUCCUUUCACAAUGUCGACAAAUGGGGUAGUUCCUCCGAGUGGUGUCACCAGUAACACCCUUGUUAUCCCAUUUGUUACCUCCACCAUUAUACUUCUGGGAGUGAGUGCCCUGCCUAAAGGAACUUCCAUUUCGCGGUCCACCUUAUUGAUUCUUCUUAUUUCUCUGAUCCCUUGUAACUUGGGCUUCAAGAAUAUCCUUCUCCGCAAGAAUUGCUCGGUCCACCAAAUCGGCAUAAUUGUUAAUCUUAAGGAUGGUCAAUCGCCCUUUAAUGUUAGGACGUAACCCUUCCAGAAACUUCCUACACUUACUACCUUCAUUAGCAACCAAGGUAUGAGCAAAACGAGAGAGGGCAGUAAAUUGUUCCUCAUACUCCGCAACAGACUUUGUUCCUUGAGUCAACCUCAAGAAAUCAGCCUCCAUCUGAUGUCGAGCUCGUUCAGGAAAAUACUUUUCAUGAAAAGCCUCCAAAAAUAACUCCCAAGUAAUGGGUGCAUCUUGCAAGCCAGCCCUUAUGAGACGAGAUUUGGCAUCCCACCAGUGGUCUGCCUCACCCUGAAGGACAAAUGAGGCUAAUAUUACCCUUUGAUCAUCAUUACAACCCAUAGCCACAAAUAUCUUCUCCAUCUGUUUUAGCCAUGCCUCUGCAACCAUGGGAUCGGCAGUCCCCUGAAAGGUAGGUGGUCCCAAUUUCUUAAAUCGUUCUAAGUUCACCAUAGCCCUAUGAUCUCUUGCGCCACCUUGCCUUUCAACUGGCACAUUCUCUUGUGCCCCAACUCUGCCUCUAGCCAUAUCUUGAAUUAACUUACUUUGUUGUUCCAUCAAUCUAAACAUUGCGCGCAUCAUAGGAUUUCCUUCGUUAGCCAUCUCGUGCAAGGUUGGGUCAGCAUCGUCAGCGAUACCUAAAACAUCUCUCGAGCUAGAGGCAUGCCUAGCACCUCCCCUACGUGACAUCUCUUGACUAUAACACGGAGAAUAAAUAAAUAAUUAAAAAGGGUAAAUAAUUCAUAGCUAAAGGUCGUGCAAGCGCGCAGAGUACUGAAUAAGUAGUGUAACUAAGAAAAUUUGAUAUUGUAAACAAGAGCAAUAAAUAUUUCAUUCUACGUUAAUACCAAAGAUCAUAUAACAAGAGUUAUUACAAAGUCGCAAGCAACAUAGAAAGCCAAAAAGACCAAAAUAGAAUUACUAGUCAUAAAUGAUUACUCCUUGCCUUAAAAUAUUUAAUCACUCUAUUAACCUCAAUAAAGUCUACAGAGUUUCAUGUCCUACAGCCACAAAGUUCAUAGGUGUACUCAACCGGAUAGGAAAAGGAUCUAUUUUUACUUUCCUUUCCUUAGUCGUGACUCCAUCUGUCUCGAUUUCCUUAGGAAUUCUAUAAGGUAGUUUAUUUAGACCUGGAGAUACCCAUCCUUUGCUAUAGUAAGGCUUAAAUCGAGGUCCUGUCCAAAAUAGGCGACGUAUUACAAGCUUAUUCUUGUUAGCUCCCUUGCCAUAAACACGUAGUCCACGUAUAGCCUCAUUGAGCUUCUUUCUUGAAGCUCCAGGUCCUGGAGGAGUAUCGAUGUAGACCUCUAUAGUCCGUCUUAGUCUAUCAUCCAUUCGCUGCUUAUGAAGUCUCCUAAGAUCUUUGACAAGAACUCCUCCUAAGAUAAAUUGUUCGGUCCUAUCAAUUUCUGUCCAUCCCUUAUUCUUGACACUUUUCAUACCCAUAUUGUCCUUCUUCAUGUCUACAAAACAAAUGUAAUCGAUUUAAUUAGACAAUCUAAUUAAACCGUAAAAGAAAGUCUACAGAAUCCUAACCUAGUUGCUCUGAUACCACAAUUGUAACACCCUAAAUUUAACACGUGCGGAGCACGUGAAGAAGGAGGUUACUCACAAAUCAUAAUCUUUACUCAUAAGUUUCAAACUGAAAUUCCUCCAAUUCUUAUUCAAAUAAAUCCAUAAAUCCAAACGUCAAAUACUAAAUAAUCUCUCUCGAGGACAUAUAAAAAUAAUAACAAAAGUCUCAAACUCCAAAUUACACGUUCAUAAUAAAAGUAACUAAAUAGAAACACAAGUUUAUUCCUCCUCUUAUUCAAUAGCAAACGGAAACUGGAAAUCACUAACUCCAAAGCUCAGUGCACCUCUCAAAAGAAACUUAAUCUGCAAAAAGUAAUGACGAGGGGUGAGCCGUCAACUCGGUAAGUAAAACCAUUCCUAACACACUAGGCCUAUCGAUACCAUAAAUAUUGUAAGCCUUCUUUUGUUUAAAGCAUAUAUCAUAAUCCAUAAUUUUCAUAAAACGAUAUAUCACAAUAACAUAAGAUAAUUUCUUAAUAAUUCAGAAUAUUCAAAAGCAUAUUUACUUACGAAUCAAAUCAUGUAAUACGUAUACAGAAAACAAACAGGUUAGCUCAUGUCACAUAGUGUCACCUAUAGUCCCGGUGACCCGGCCAGAAACAUAAUCAGAAUAUCGUGUGCACACUCAGAACAGAAACCCAGUACUGGUCCAAACGGAUAUAUCGUAUAUUACGAUCAGAAUCAGAAUCAGACUAACUAUGGACAAUGAGCCAAAGCAUUAAGAAUCUCAUACAAUCAUCAAUAAUUGAAAUCAAACAUAGGUACAAAACAUUCGUAUCAGUUUCAUAAAAGUUCAUAUCAAUAAUAUAGGCUUGCAUAACAUUUUAAAGAUAACAUCCUAAAAGGUUGUCAUGUCAUAAAAAUAACUUACAUAUUCAAAAGCAUUUAUAAAAUACUUUGUUAAAAAGAAUGGUUUGAAAACAUUUACAUAAAGCUAAUUUUGUUAUCAAAAUUAGUAAUCCUUUAAGUAGUAUCAAAACAUUUAUACUUAUAAUAAUAAUAUCAAAAUACUUAUACAUAUCUAGUACAUUAGGAAUGAAGUUACUUACCUCGACAAAUGAACUUGGAUUAACACAGCUCUAAGCUUAGGCCACCCAUAAUUCUCAAUGAAAGCCCAAUUUCCAUAAUUUAAUAUGUAUGGGAAUUUGUGGCGUUACAGCAGUACUAACAUGGGUGAACUCUUGGGAUGUCCUCGUGUUGCACCCCUCAUUUUGUCUUUUCGGCCGGUUAAUCCUCUUUUCGCGGCCGACUCCUUUGCUUUCGCGGGUUUCGAUCGCCGACGCGGGGUCUCCGGGGCACCUCCGACUCGCCAGGGAGAGCGAAAAGCGCUUCAGAGGGGUGAAUCAUGCGGCGGCCAAGUCGGGGCAGGCGACGGGGGCACAGAUUACGUAGAUUUGUAGUGCACAUGCUGAUGGCUGCGACGAUACCAGCACUGAUGCACCGAAUCCCAUCUGAACUCCGCAGUCAAGUGUGCUCGGGCGGGAGUAGUACUAACAUGGGUGACCUCGUGGGAUGUCCUCGUGUUGCACCCCUUAUUUUGUCUUUCGGCCAGUUAAUCCUCUUUUCGCGGCUGAAUCCUUCACUUUGCUAGCGUUCGCGGGUUUCGAUCGCCGGCGAGGGGUCUCCGGGGCACCUCCGACUCGCCGGGGAGAGUGAAAAGCGCUCCGGAGGGGUGAAUCGUGCGGGGGCCGAGUCGGGGCAGGCGAGGGGGCACAGAUUAAGUAGAUUUGUAGUGCACAUGCUGAUGGGUGCGACCAUACCGGCACUAAGGCACCGAAUCCCAUCAGAACUCCGCAGUCAAGCGUGCUCGGGCGGGAGUAGUACUAAUAUGGGUGACCUCGUGGGAUGUCCUCGUGUUGCACCCCUCAUUUUGUCUUUUUGGCCGGGUAAUCCUCUUUUCGCGGCCGACUCCUUCACUUUUACGUGCGUUCGCGGGGUUCGAUUGUCGGCGCGGGGCCUCCGGGGCACCUCCGACCCGCCGGGGAGCGUGAAAAGCGCUCCGGAGGGGUGAAUCGUGCAGGGGCCGAGUCGGGGAAGGCGAGGGAGGCACGGAUUAAGUAGAUUUGUAGUGCACAUGUUGAUGGGUGCGACUAUACCAGCACUAUUGCACUGAAUCCCAUCAGAACUCCGCAGUGAAACGUGCUCGGGCGGGAGCAAUACUAACAUGGGUGACCUCUUGGGAAGUCCUCGUGUUGUACCCUUCAUUUUGUCUUUUCGGCCGGUUAAUACUAUUUUAGCGGCCGACUCCUUCACUUUUGCGUGCAUUCGCAGGUUUUGAUCGCCGGCGCGGUCUUUGGGGCACGGGUUAAGUAGAUUUGCAGUGCACAUGCUAAAAGGUGCGACCAUACCAGUAGUAAUGCAUCGGAUUCUAUCAGAACUCUGCAGUUAAGCGUGCUUGGGCGAGAGCAGUAAUAAGAUGGGUGACCUCUUGGGACGUCCUCGUGAUGCAACCCUCCUUUUGUCUUUUCGGCCGGUUAAUCCUCUUUUCGCGCCCGACUCCUUCACUGUUACGUUUGUUCGAGGGUUUCGAUCGCCGGCGCGGGGUCUUUGGGGCACCUCCGAUCCGCCGGGGAGCGUGAAAAGCGCCCCGGAGGGGUGAAUCGUGCGGUUCCCGAGUCGGUGCAGGCGAGGGGGGCACGAGUUAAGUAGAUUUAUAGUGCACAUGUUGGUGGAUGCGACCAUACCAGAACUAAUGCACCGGAUCCCAUCAGAACUCUGCAGUCAAGCGUGCUUGGGCAAGAGCAGUACUAAGAUGGGUGACCUCCUGGGAGGUCCUCGUGUUGCACCCCUCCUUUUGUCUUUUGGGCCGGUUAAUCCUAUUUUCGCGGCCAACUCCUUCACUUUUGCAUGCGUUCGCGGGUUCGAUCGCCGGCGCGGGGUCUCUGGUGCACCUCCGACCUACCGGGGAGCGUGAAAAGCCCCCCGGAGGGGUGAAUCGUGCGGCGGCCGAGUCGAGGCCGGUGAGGGGGGCACGAGUUAAGUAAAUUUGCAGUGCACAUGCUGAUGGGUACGACCAUACUAGCACUAAUGCACCGGAUCCCAUCAGAACUCCGCAGUUAAGCGUACUUGGGCGAGAGCAAUACUAAGAUAGGUGAUCUCUUGGAAAGUGCUCGUGUUGCUAUUAAUUUCUUAUCUUUUCUUAUCUUUUUGAAGUUGUGAAAAGAUAAACUAUAGUUUGCAAUAAGAACAGUGUUGGCUAAGUGUUGACGGUAGAAAGAAUUUAGAGAUAAUUUUUAAUAAAGAUGGUUAAUUUGGAAAUUUUAUAUGCGUUUAGUGAAUGAAUAGUGUUGCAUGUAUUUAAAAUAGCACAAAAUUUAAUACAAAAGUAUAAAAAAUUCAAAAAAAAUCUUGUGCUGUGGUGGAUUCUUUUCUUGUAAUGAAACGUUUUAUUUAUUUUUAGUGAUGGCAUACUAUUUUUUAUAUUAUUUUUUUUUCUUAUAUAUUGGUAUUGUCAGCCAACAGAUGAAUAAAUGGUAAACUAUUGAUGUGAAAAAUCUCUGCCACCUUUUCGAUUUUUUUUUUAAAAGAUAGAGAGAUAAAUGAUUUCAAAUUAAUCUUUUAACUCUCUUAACUUUUGUCAAAUUUAAAUUUGAAUAGCCAACAAAAUAAAAUUAAUUGAAAACUCUACCUCCGUACUCCGAGUGCAAUUAUUUUGACUCAAAUGAAUGUCUUAAAAAUUUGAAAAAACAGACCAGCACAUUGAAUAUAUAAAAUGUGCCUGUAUAUAUAUCACACCCUGCCAAUCACGGUGUUAUAAUAAUGGAAUCAUUGAUCAGUAAAUAUAUCUUACUGUCCUUUUCUCAUGCGCAUGCGUCAUUACGAAAUCAAAGUUAACAGUGUUAUAACUAAUCACAUUUGAAAAUAUUCAUAUGAGGAGUCAAAGAUGCUUGCAAACAGUUAGUCCACAUUUGCGAGCAAGCGUGAUUAUAUAUAAUGUGCUUCUCUAUUAUAGUGUGUGAUCAAUCAGGCAAGCUUAAUUUAGCUGAUCAUCAGUAUCUAUGGAUGCGAAUCAAGAUCAAGGAGCAAAAGAGUUGUUCCAAGGCCAAGCUCAACUGUAUAAGCUCAUGUUUAGUCAUUUAAGCUCGAUGUCACUCAAGUGCGCGAUUGAGCUAGCUAGGCAUAGCGGAUAUAAUUCACAGCCACGGACGGGCCAUCACUCUUUCUGUGUUGGUCUCGGCACUUGAUAUUCAGCCUACAAAAACGACUGGCCUAUUCAGGCCAUGCGCUUGUUAGUUCACUCGGGCUGCUUUAAAAAAACCAAAGUCAAUGGGCAAGAAGAAGCAUACGGGCUCACAGCUGCUUCUACUCUGCUCAUAAAAGAUAAGCCCUACUGUUUGUCACCAACUGUUUCAGUAUUUGUUGACCCAUUUUUUGUCGCUCCAUAUCAGUCUUUAAGUAGUUGGUUCAAAGGGGCUGAGCUCACGUUGUGGGAAACUGUUCAUGGAAUCAAGUUCUGGGAAUUUAUGAAUCAAAACCCUGGAAUAAACCAGCGGUUCAAUGAAGCAAUGGCCAGUGACACUGAAAUAAUGACAAGCUUUGUUGUCAAAGCCGAGUGCAAGCAAAUCUUUGAAGGGUUGGGCACAUUGGUUGACGUAGGAGGUGGCAACGGAUCGUUUUCCAGAAUCAUCUCUGAAGCAUUCCCUGGAAUCAAAUGCACUGUACUCGACCUUCCGCAUGUUGUUGCUAACCUGCCUGAGGCCGACAACUUGAAAUACAUAGCAGGUGACAUGUUUCAGUUUAUCCCUCCGGCAGAUGCCUUUCUCUUCAAGGUAACAUCCAAUUUUAAAAAUUUAAAACGACUUCUUAACCGUUUUCGUGAAUACCAGAUGAUUUAUUUCAAUUGUUCUGUGCGCAGCACAUAUAUCCGGACGUUUGAAUCUUACAAAAUCAGGAUUUGAAUGAUUCAAAUCAGAUUUAAAGCAACUGCAAAAUGCUAUACAACUCUAAAUUUAAUUAACAUUUGGAUUUUACAGAAUCUAGAAGUUUAGGCUUGAGCAUGACCAUUUACGUAGUCAUUCUCUAGUGCGCUUACCCGCAUUUUUUCAAGUGUAUAUAACUAUUCAUUUCACAUAUGACAAUUCAUGAUAAUUUGUAUUCUGAAAGAGUGUAUAUAAUAUAAUAUAUUUUUGUAAACGAAGGAAACAGCAGCUUUGUGGCAUUGGAUUUAUACGGUCCCCCGGUAAUUAAACAAAAACAAUUAACUUUUUAUGCAAUUAUUGUUACCGAACACAUUUUUAAAUAAUAUAUCCAACAGUGCAUAGCAGUAGGUCUUUCGAAAACUCACUAAAUUUAACAUUAAAAUAUCAAUAUAUUAAUAAAAAAAGUUUAUUCUUUUAUCACAUACUGAGUUGGUGGAAUAAUCCCAAGCAAUUUUUUUCGGCCUGUACGUCAGUUUAGUUGCAAACAAAUUUUAAAAUUACAAUAAAAUAAAGAAAUUGUGAGAAUGGAACAGCUCCCCCUGAAGCUUACAUUUAAUUUAAUUACAAAGCCCCACGAGCAGGCAGAUGUUUAUUUCAAAACCAAAAAUGGACGAGGAAAAGGUUACCCAAUUGAGAAUCAGAGCAUGCAUCAGACGAGCUCAAUAUCAUCAGACAAUUUUUUUUUCUUUUUCUGCAUAUAAAUUAAUUAUGUAUAACAUUGAAACUUAUUUUUCCAUAACUUAUAUGUAUAUGUACAAAUGUGUGUGUUUAUAGGCAGAGUAAUAAAACGCUUUAUCUACAACACUAUAAAAUUAUUUUACAAUAUUUAAAACAACGAAUCUGCAUUCUAAAAAGUGUGAUUUCUGUAUGCAUAUAGAUAGAUCAAGGGGUGGGCAAAAUCGGGUUCGGAUCAACCCAAUCGGAUUUCGGAUUGAUCGGGUUGGAGAGAAAUUCAUCCGAACUCAACCCGAAUUUCAGAUCGGAUCGGAUCGGAUCGGGUUGUAUUCGGUUCGGGUCGGAUCAAAUCUAAAAUUCGGAUCAAUUUCCGGUCAAUUCGGGUUAAGGACAAAAAAGAGUUAUUUUGUUAAUUUUGGGGUUGUUUAAUAAUUAUUUAAUAAUUACAAUAUCACUUUUAUACAAUUAGUUCAUUUUAGUCCAUUUCCACUUUCGACUUUCCAAUGAUUGUCAUAAAAAAAAUAUAUAAACUAAAAUAGAAAUGAAAAAGUUGUGAGCUUGAGGACUUGGUGCCGUGAAUCUCGGUCUCGGUCUCGGUCUCGUUGGAAGAACAACCAUGGAUCACUUCGCGCGGGUCAAGCAGCAGCCGAUGGAUCAAGCGGUAAUGGGUUUCAUCGAUGGCUCAUGGCUUCACGGGUUUCGUCGGUGGCUACCGGAAAAGCAAAUCCGAUUGAAGUGAAGUGAAGCAACCGUCGAUGCAGCAGCAAGCAGAUCCUGUCGUCAAUGCAGCAGAUCUGGUCAAGUGGUGUGCUGCCUCUAGCCUGCUGCUGUGCUAACCGUUUGUGGUUAUGUUGUUGCUUGUAGUUGUUUGAGUGAGUUGUGAGGAAAAAGAGGAAGAAGAUAAAGAAGAUAAAGAAGAGAUUGAAGAGAAAGAACAUGGAGAGUGUUGGUGUGAGGCUGUGAGGCUGUGAGCCAUGGUGUUCGUAUCUGCUGUGUAGCCAUUUAGAUUUUGUUGGUUUUUUUUUUUGUUUAAGCAACCCGAUCGGGUUUUCGGAUCGGAUCGGGUCAAAGAUACAACUCGAUCGGGUUUCAAAGAUUUAAUCCGAUCGGGUUUUAUUCACGACCCGAUCCGAUCCGAACCUAAAAAUUUUCGGAUCAGAUCGGGUCGGAUCGGGUAUUUUGCCCACCCCGACGCACAAACUGUUGGGAUUUUAUUAAAAAGAAAAAGUAUUCUAUAUUUUAACUAAAAUGUUAGAUCAAACAACUGAACUGCACUAUAAGUAGUGGAUAGUAAUUAAAUGAGUGAUUGGCAUGGUUGCAGUUGGUUUUUCAUGGAUUAGGUGAUGAGGAUGGGUUGAAGAUACUGAAGAAACGCAGAGCAGCAAUUGCAAGCAAUGGUGAGAGAGGAAAGGUAAUAAUAAUAGAUAUUGUUAUCAAUGCAGAGGAAGAGGAACACGAAUUAACCGAAACAAAGUUCUUGUUUGACAUUGUGAUGAGCGUUAACGCCACUGGAAAAGAGAGAACUGAAAGUGAAUGGGCAAAGCUAUUCUUCGAUGCUUGUUUCAGUCACUACAAAAUAACACCUAUAUUUGGCAUGAGGUUCCUCAUUGAAAUCUAUCCAUAAAGAAUUGAGCAACCGUAUUCCCGCAAGUCUCAUGUACAGCUUGAUGGAAUAGCAAAAUAUCGUUCAAGAUUUAAGUGUACGUGGUAGUUGAAAUGUCUCGAAAUGACUAGAAAAUGAGGUGACACGCGGGUUUAAAUAGAGGAUGAGUCACUCAAAACAAGUAACUGCAAAAUAAUUUAUAUUGGUACUUUGGAUAUUUACAAUUAGGUUGUACAUUAAUGACAAAUGAUUCAAAAUUUAUCUUUGCAAUGUCAGUAAAAAAAAUAAUUAGUAAAAAAUUAAAAAAGUAAAAAUAACCUAUUCAUAUUAAUGAGUAAUAUUACUAUUAAAAAUUAAUAUUUCAAAAGUAUAACAUCCCCACGAUUCUUCUAAGCCAAUCAGAAACAUCAUCAGCUAAGAUUGUUUGAUGUAAGACAAAAUUGAAGUUUACUUAUUUUAUUUAGUAUUUUAAUUUUUUCAAGCUGAAUUUAUAAUUGGACUUAUAUUUGGGGGUGCAUGGAUUCUCUUUUCCGGUUUACUAUUAGAAAGAUUAUGUCACGGGUUUAAUAAUUUUUUAUCAUUAAAAUCCUUAUUUUAUGCGAGGGUUUAAUCUAUCUUGAUCACAUUUCCACUGUGUUAUUAAGAAAAUCUUCAAUUAACAUGCAGUAUAAUAUCCAAGUCAACUCAAUCAAGAGGCUAAUUAAAACUGAGGAUCAAAAAGCACAAUCAACCUUACAUAACAAGCAAGAAUAAUGAAAGCCUUGAAUUAAUCACUAGCCGUUAGUCCUCUAUCCGUUUCUUUUAAUUUAACUAGGUGGAAGCCAAGAAUCUUGAGCAAAACGCUAUGCCCCAUAUUGUAUAUGUAUCCAACAAUUCGUCAAUGAAACUUUUUUUUAUGGUAUCACAGCCAAUCUUGAGAAUCACAGACAUGCAUGGUUAUUAUGUUUCAAUGAAAAAAAGUUUGCCACUAGUGAACCUCUUAAGAAAGUUGGCUUGCUUGAUUGUAGAUCAGUAUACAAAAGAAAUUCAAAUCUAUUUGUGAUUAUUUGGCUGCCAUCAAGAAACCAGUGGAAGAUGUUGAUAAACAGUGGCAAUUGGCACGUGGACUUGGACCAGACCUGAGACCUCUCAAGGUAGCGAUGCUGGGAAAUCCUCCAUACCGUCAAUUUGGUCCUUUUAUAUUACAAGGUUCAAAAAGUUGAAUUAAUUUUCUAUUAAUGCAAGCUAGUAUCCAAGGUGGUCAAUGGAUCUAGAGAUGGGGGAAAGAAAAAAAACACUUAAAGAAAGAUGUAAUUGAUUGAUUAUGUUAAAUGCUAGCUCAUUUGUAAAUUUGAAGGAUAACAAAGACUUUAUUAAAAGUGCAGUGUGAUUAUACAAAGAGUAGUGUUAGGCAUCUUGAGAUUUUAUCUCAAAUGAUACGAUAUACAUUAAGUGAAUGAUGGCAUAGUUUAAUUAACUCACGUAAUAUUUAUGAAAAAUUGUGAAUCACUUCAUGAAAAACAUGUUACAUACCAUGCAUAUCACAUAAUAUUUUAGUGUGUAUUAUCUUUUCUUUAAUGAUAAAUUGUAUUGUGGGCAUUUAAAUAUAUAAUAUUGUAAAAUUUAACUAAAGAGUUGGUGUAACAAAAUAUUUUGAUAAGGAUAUCUGAUGAAAUUUCAAAUAAAUUUCAUUUUCACCUUAAAUUUCAAGCGACCUGAAUAUAUGCACUAUGAUUUAUUCAGAGCAAUCCGAAACCGAAAUAAUAUGAGCUUUCAGAUUGAUUAAAUGUUUUUCCCAAUACAUUCAGAUUUCAGAAAGUUUCAAAAGAAAGCUGAAAAAAUAUAUCAAUAAUUAAAAUGAAAAAAGUUGGAAGGAGGUAUCUAAAAGUCAAUUUCAACGCCAAUGAUGUGUAAUUCCACAUGAGCAAACUAGUUGAUUGCCAUGAGAAAACGAAAAGAAAAGAGAGGUGCAUAAAAUUUAAUUUGACAAUAACAGCCACGUUCUCCCCCCCCCCCCCCCCCCAAAAAAAAGCAAAAAAAAGCAUAAAUUUCAUUUGACAAUGAUAUCCUGAUAUCCAUGAACUCAACUUGGGAAAGGAAAAACAAAAAAAAAAACCUCCAUCAUAUAGAAAUUUCAUUUGACAUAUUAUCAUUUAUCUUGCUUCGCUUCGUAUCAUUUGUGUAUUUUAUUGUCUUUGAAGCAUAUGAUUUUUUUUGUUUGGUACUAUGUUGGUGUUGUUUUAAUUUUCUAUAUAAGAAACGUGAUUGUUAUAUGGAAGACAUAUUUUGCAGAAAUAAUGGGAUUCAUUCUAAACUUAGACAUUGACAAGCUAGCCGAACACUACAAGAAAAUGGAACAUUUCUAAGGGCAACUACCCUUGGAAAUAGACGAAGACUCUCAGAAAAACUCAUUUUCAAGUAAGACAUGCCGUCGAUCGUCGUCGUAUUAAGUCUUAUCGGAAAUGUAAAAUUUCUGAUGAGUCGUUGGAGAAAAAAAAAAUUUCCGAGGAUGUUGCCGUCGGAUAUGGAAUUAAAUGCCCUCCGAAAUAAGAUAAGAUAAACCUAGUUAUUUCAGCUGCAACAUGCCCUCAAAAAUAAAAGAUACACUGUCGGAAAUAGACUUAUUUCAUUAAUUUUUUAUUGUUGAAAUAUCCAUAUUAGGGAAGUAAUGUAACAAACAUAAUAAUAAUAUACGAAAUAUACUAAAUGUAACUUCAUUAAUUUCAAAAAUUCAUAAAAUCACAUUCAUCAUGCAAAAAUGCAACAAAAAUAUCAAUUUUAUACUAUCUUUUACAGAAAAAAAAAUAUACCCAAGUAUAGACAAAAUGAUAUCACCAUAUCUUAAAUAUGUUCAAUCAUCCUCUAAAACAACUUCAGUUUCUGAAUCAUUUACCUCAACUUCAUCAUCCUCAUACCCAUCAUCAUCUUCUCCCGUCAAAACAAUGUCCUAGGUGAAAGAAGGAAUUUUAAUCAUUAGUAUUACCAAAACAAGAACUUGUAUGAAAUAUAAUCAAGAAACUGAGACUAAUGAGAAAAAUAUUGUAAUAAAAACAACUUUAUAUCGAUGCAUAGUCUCCAUUUCAAAAAAUCUAAUAAUUAUUCCAUCAUUCACCUAUAUUAGAAGCUUGUCCAUAAUUACUUAAGUUCAUCAACUAAUAGAGCAAUGACAAGUCACCAAUCAUUUUUCAUGAGAACUCAAAAUAUAGAACACUUCAUUCACUUAAUCUAUUAAUAAAAUGAAAUAAACAACUUAUAGCUUCUGAGAUGAUUCUUGUGCAGACUUUCCAAGAACAAGUUUUAUCAUUCUUUUCAACUUCUUGAUUUCUUUCUCUAAGUCUUUUACUUUUACUUCCAAAUUACUACAUUGAUGCUUGUUACCUCCUUAAAUUGGCGAACCAUACACAUCCUUGCCUUUGAUGCCUGCUCCCUAACCAACAACACGACCAUGUGCUGCUUCUCUUGUCACUUCUCGAGAUAUUUUCCAUUCAUCCACUGGCAAGCCUUGAUCUAUAACAGUGGAUCUCAUUGAUUCCAUUGUUUCCUAUAAUAAAUACAAACAUUUGUGUUAGUGCAUAUAGUAAUGAAAUCAUGCAAAUAAAUCAGGAAUAUUAUGAAAAUUUAAUAUCAAAUACACACAUGCAUUUCCUUUGCCUUGUUACUUGCCCAUGUCCCCUUACAUGAAACAUCUUGAAUAAAUCAAGUGGACUAAGUUAAGUACCUAUUUGUUACUGCAAUAAAGAAUUGAAAUUCAAUAAGAUCAUAAUAAAUAAACACACUUCUUUUAUGAUCAAAGUCAAACAUGUUCUCUUCCCAUUUAUGCUCUAUGCUUGGCCAUUGGGACGAACUUGUAGUAUGAAUAAGUUUGGACUUGGUUCAAUUCCUCUUGAUCGUUCUGCCUGUUUUCUAUAUAUAAUUUUAAAAAAAGCAUAAAAUCAAUUUGGUUAUUCUGAACCCAUUGUUGAGUACUAGAGAAUUCAUAUUUAUAGAGGGUAAAAUUAUCAUUUUAUGCUUCAAGUCUCACUAACAUUUUCACUUUUACAUGUUUAAAUCCUCUAAGCUUUUAUUAUGUGUGUUUUAUUAUAAUUUAAGUAUUUUAUAUAUUUCAGAGAUAUUUUGGCCAUUUUAUGACUAACGAGAAGUCAGACAGCAAAACUAAUGGCAUUUUUGAACUCAUAAUGGUUGAAAAUCUUAGGAGGAGCAUAAAUGGAUAUUUGGCAUAUGGUAUUGUUCACAUAUUAGGUAAUAUUCACAAGUACAACACUGUUUCACAUAUACAGUAUGAUGAAGUGGCAUUGACCGAUGAUGUGGCAGGAUGUUAUUGGACCAAAAUACUGAUGUGGCAUUUACUGAUGAUGUGGCAGCAUCUUAUGGGACCGAAAUGUUGAUGUGGUGUUGACUAAUAAUGUGUACCAACCAAUCAAAGCUUGCCAUGUGGCGCAAUCCUGAGCGUACGAAUUAUUUUCAUCUGAUGGCCAUGAUUUAUCUAUUGUAUUUAUAAAUAGAGGGCUCCUCCACCUAAUUUGACACCUUUGAAUCCAUUUUCGAGCUCCAUUUUCUAUAAUUCUCUCUCCAUCUUGUAUUUUCUACAUAUUUUAUAAAAUUAUCAUUUUACUCAUUGUUCAAUUAUAAGUGGCUAGUUUAUUUCAAGCUUGGGUUGAAGGUGAAGGCUAAACAUGAUCCAUGGGCUUAGGUAAGUUUAUUUUCUUUUUCUCUCGACAAACAAUGUAUCCUAUCUAGAUGUUGCACAGUAUACCUGCUCCCUAGUGAAGGAUCGUUACUGUCUGGCACAAUGAGCACUUAACAUCAGAUUAAUUAGAGAGAAAAUUUCCCUAUAGUAUUUUGUGGGUUGUCUUGACUCAGUAUUGACAGAGAGUAUAUAUAAGCUAUUUAGUGGAUGGUCUUGCCAUGUUGUUGAUUAUUAUCAUCUGGCACAGCAUGUUCUCGACACCACACUUAGUGGAAGAUCAUUACCCCUUGCACACUGAGCGCUUGAUGUCAUAUUUAUUAGAGUGAGAAUUAUGAGGAGUUGAAAUACCCCCUUCAUGAAUUAAUUGGAACUAAAAAAGAAAUAUUAAGCCUAUGGUGAAAUGUUGAGUAUGAAUUUAGAGACUCAAGCUUUUCAUUUGCAUUAUUUUCAUCUUUAAUUCAUUCCCGUCAUUUUAUUUUAAAUCUUAAGAUAAAAAAAUUCACUCCCAGCCAACUCACAUAUACACCUAGAAAAUUAACCCUAUGCAUAAUUAAAUCUACAUUCUCGUGGGACCGAACACAAAAUCUAUUUACAAUAGAAUCGUGCCCUUGCGAGUACAAUAAAAUGUGGACAACACCCAUCAAGAACAACUCAGGUAUAAAGUACAUUGGCAAUAUUUAUAACUUUCUUAUUCCUAUAAUGAUUCUAGCAACUAUAAUUCACUGAUGAAUUAAAAGAAAAACGAAGCUUAAGAAAGAAAAUGGCAGAAAAGUAUUAUGCUAAUAGUCAUUAUUAGUACUUUCCACCCCUCAUCCAUCCAUUUGUCAACCAUUUUACCUACCAGCAGCCACAGUAGCACUCAAGAGAUAUACUACAUCAUUUAAAGAAACAAAACCCUUUGCAGACUUUAGAGAACAAAUUCUAACCUACAGAAUAUAAUUAGAAAAGCAGCCACCACAAAGCAUAGAAGCUUCUUUGUAUAGUGGUACAAUAAUCAAAACCUGAAACAUGUCCAUUAGUAUUAAAAUUGUUGACAUCAAACAAAAAUGAAACUAAAUAUCAUUUUUGCUAAGCUCUAAAUAUGACUAUCACUACUUUAAUUUUAUUUUAUUUUUGCUGAGCACUAACACUCUUGGAUUUCCUUUGAAUGUUCCUAAAUCUCAUCUUUAAUAACUAAUCAAAGUUGACUUUCUAAAAUAGUGUUUUUCAAUCCUAUAAAACAAAGCAAAUAAAUGCAAACUCGAUUAACCAAACAAGAAAUGGUUGUGCACUUUGUGCUCCUAAAUUAUGCAAACUAUGUAGUUAAUUACACAUUAACUACACCAUCGAGAAUUAUCACAAAACAACUUUAUUACAAAUUCAUGUUAAUGGAUCAAGAAAUUGCCAAUUAAGUUUUAAGGAACUUGGUGAAAUUCAAGUCACUAAGACCUAGAAAGUAAAACUUUAAUAAGAUUGAAAAGCAAGAAAUGAAAAUAAACAACUGAAAGAAGAAUAAAAAUUACAAGUAUCAAAACUAGAUCAAGAGAUGCCUACAAAGAGUUGAUGAGUUGACUCGGAGAGACACAGAAGAUGCACAAAGUUGUGAAUCUACAACUCUAAAACCCUAGAAAAUUUAUGAUAUUAAAGAAAUAUCAUGAAGAGGGAUACGGAUUGGAGAAACUGUAGGAAAAGCUAAAAAGAGUUAAAAAUUACAAACUAAAAAAUUUUAAGUAAAUUUACUUGGAGGUGCUUCUACAUGCGAACAAGAUACAAAGAGUGAGAGAGUAGCAGAUGGUAAGAUGAAAAUAGUGUCUCCAUUUGUUCGUUUGAAUUUUCUUUUAAUCAAUGUCUUAUUUUGUUGAAGGGCUUUAUUUACUACCAAAGGGUUGGACUUUAUUUAAUUGGCUUUGUUACUUUUGUAUGAACUGAUAAUAUCUUAUUUUUGUUUUAUUUAUAUAUUUUUUUAUAUUUAUAGGGUUUAUUUCUGUUUUAUCUUUUUUAUAGGAGGUUCAGAGAUUUAAUUUUAAUUUAGUAUUAUAUUUCCUACCACAAAUUCAUUAUUAGCAAGGGCAAAUUACCCUCUGAAAACUUUAUCACUUUUUUAAUGAUUUUCCAACAACUCCUUUAUGUCCUUGUAAAAAGUGCUUAUUAUCGAGGGUAAACAAUGCCCUUGGAAAUAUUUGUUCGUUAAUAUAGCUUUUUUUUGUAGUGCGUUGGCAAUGUUAUGAAGAAAAUCUAGACUUGAAUGAUAGUUGGCUAUCUUUGUUUGGUGAGUUUGCACGUUACAGGAUUGUGUGAGAUGAUUCUAUUGUAAACACCAUGAGAUUAUAUUUGUCCCAAGGUAAACACAAAAGCAUGUUGUGCAACAUUCUAUUUCAAGGUAGGGUUGCCAAAAAAGUCCAAGCCGAGCUGCAUGGAUUGGGCCUGGAUAUGGGCUGAAAAAUAUGAAGCCCGCAUAGACUGGGCCUAAAUAAGGGCCUAGAAAAUGCCCGAGCAUUUUAAUUUAUAAAUAAAAAAAAUAUCAAAUUAAAAAAUUAAAAUACUAUAUUAACUUUUUUUUAUAUUAGUAUUUACGGGUGGGUAUGUGUUGGUUUGGUUUGGGUUUACUUUAAACCCAAACCAAACCAACCCAAAUAAUUUCAACCCAACCCAAACCAACCCAUUUGGAUUUGGUUUGGGUUUGGUUUGAAUUUUAUUAUCAAAAUUUUUUUGAUAAAUUUAAUUAUAUACAAAUUAUAAUAAUUAUUAAUUGUUAUUAAUUAUUAAAUUGAUACUCAAAUAUGAAAAAAUUAUAGUGAAUAAAAAUAAAAAUAAUAAAUUUUACAAUAACUUAAUCCUUAAAUUAAAGAAUACUAGAAAAUUAAAAUAAAGUUUAAUAACAAAAAUCAUUAAUUCUCAAUAAAAAAGAACGUAAACUCUAAUAAUAAACUUUCACAAACAUGACAUCAACAGGUAAAUUCAAAGAAAGCAAAUAAAAAAAAUUAUGUGAGUGCCAUUUAGUUAAAAUAAUAAAAUUUCUUUAACUAAAAAAAUGUAUCCUUUGACUUAUAAUUAUUGAGAUGAUAAUUUUCUAUCAAAUGGUGUUUUUUUUUUUCAAUAGGUUGAUUGCUCAUGAAUUUCAAGAUGGAGGAUCAAUGCCAAUAAAUCCCAUCAAAAAAAAAAAAACGGAGUAUUAUUUAUGCUACAAUAUCAAUAUAGCAAACAAAUGUUAAUUUUAUUUAUAAUAAGGAUUUAUAAUUUCUGUCACAAUAAUAUUUUAUCAGUGGCGAAAGAUUAUUUGUCAUAAUUAUUAAUUAUUUCCUUCCAAUGGGCUAGGUAACUAUGCCCUCAAAAACCAUCUCAACAUUAUUACUAUAAUUUUCCUUAAUUUAAAUACGAAAACAACAAUAUAGAUUUGGUGUUUUUCUUAUUAUUGUUAGAAACAUUAAAGCGGUAAAUUUCAAAAAAAUGAUUUCAUUUCAUCAGACACUAAUUUCAUCUCAUUUAAUUAUUUACAGUAACUCAUGAGGCAUUUGCAUCUUAAUAAUCCUUUGUGGCAUUUUAUCUAUGAGAUAUGCGAUUGUUGAAACAACCUCGAUCAAAUGCUCAAAUGGUAAUAAAGAUUCAGAUAACAUUGUAAAGGUAGUCUUUAUUAUAUGUCUAUGCUUCCUUUCAGCAGCUCUAUUUUGUUAAGGAGUAUAAAGACAUGAAGUAUGUUUGAUGAUUCCAGAUUAUUAAAGGUCUUGUUGGAAAAUGAUAGAGAUUCUCUUUAUUUUCUACAACAAAGUCAAAAGAGUGAAAUUCCACUGAACAAUUUAUAUCAUCUAUAAGUUUGUUAACUAACAAGAGGUUCUCUUUAAGUUUGAAAGCAAGCAAAAAAAAUUUUGAAGUUUGAUUUCCUAUGCGUGGUAUCACCAAUAUGAGAACUAGGUAAGUUUUGGACAUUCCCUACAAAAAUCUUAUCAAAACAUUUGCAAGGAAUAAAUUUCCUAAACCUACUAGUGUUAUUUAUCAUGUGGGUAGUAGCUCCUAAAUCAGGAUAAAGUUGUGGGUCGUUCUCAUCAUGCAGAUUCAUGGCCACAAGGGCUUGUGGUACUGCCUUUUAAAGAGUAAAGUAGUAGUACCUUUGUUUAUAAGCAGUAGCAUUAUGGUUAGUCUUGCCAUAAAUUUUAUGUAUUAUACCUAAUUUAGAAUUAUGUUUCCACUUAUUGGUGUCUGUGUUGUAAUGUUUUGGUGUAGGUGGCAGAUUGGACCAUUAUUGUUGAACUUUAGCUACAGCAAAGAGUUGUUAGAGGGUAAUUGAUUCAUGUUGAAAGAUUGAUUCAUGUUGUUAUGCCCACUGUUAAAGGGAAAAUUUCCUCUUCCACGAAGGUUGUUGUUGAAGCAUCCUUUUUGUCCUUGUCCUAAAAAACAUUUCCCAUGUCCACGUUGGCCAAAGAAAGCUUGCUGUGGAUCCGCUUCUUUGCCAUCAUUUUACUGAGCGAUCACAGUAUGCUCAUGGCUUUUUAAGGAUGAUAGGAAUAAUUUUAAACUUGGAUAAGAUGGCUUGGUCAACACAACCAUUUUUAAGUCAACAGACUCGAUUCUCAGUGCUCAUGUUGUUGAAAAGACUUUGUCAUCAUCAGUCAAUGGCUUUCCAAUGGCAGCUAGAUUUUCGUACAGGCCUUUGAAUUUUUUAAGAAGUCGUCAAGCUUCAGGAAGCUUUCCUUAGGGAGAAUAGAUUAUCUUUAAGCCAAGACUCAUGCUCCUUCGUAGCGGGGGCUUGUACUCUUAAAUGAAGAGAUAAACUUCUCUUGUUGUUUGUCAUCCAACUAUUGGUAUAAGGAUGUCUUCCAUCAUCAUUCCAUGUAACCAAGUAAAAUAGCCUAUAAUUGUCUGCUAAAAUUGAAAAGGUAGGGUUAGUGACAAACUAUCCAUUAUUUGGAAAUUGUUUAGGGUAGUGCAUCAUUAGAGAUGUGAUUGGCGAGUCCUAGGUUGCUGAUCAAGAGAAGGAUUUAGGACCUCCAUAAGAGAUAAUUGUUGCUAGAGAGUCUGACAGAGAUUAGGUUGGCACAUUGAUGGACAAUUUACCGAGAGAGUUUGGCCUCAAUUUGAGUGUUACAUAAAGAAGCAUAAGCUCAGAUACUAUGGUAACUUUCAAGAGUAUUGUAUGUUGGAUCCAUCUCAUUUUGGUGGUCCAAGCCGAAAGCUUCCAUUAGAUUGGGUGUUUAAGUAAUUAAAGAAAGAUUGGUAGGCUAAGUGAAAUUAGCGUAUAUAAUUUAUAAAGGCAAAUAAAUGAAAGCAGUAGUAACAUGAGAAGAACACAAAAAUGUGAGAGAGAGAGAUGAAAAAAAAUGCAAUGGCCCACUAUAUCAAUUUGUGUUCAAGGGUUUCAAUAUUUGAUUAGGCGAUCAGAAGCAGAAUUUAACUCCAUUUUCUCCUGAAAUACCUACUUGUUAGAGAGACAUAUAUUAGAGUGUUGUUGUAAGUCAAGAUUAUUAAGAUUCUUGAUGUUGUUAAUCUCAAGUGUUAUCUAGAGAAGAAUUUGUGUUCUUGUCCCAUUAUUUAUAUAGUGGAAGGUUAUAUCAGACCGCAAUCCUAUAAUAUUUCCCGAUUUGGGUUUUCUUUGUAAAAAUAUGUGUCUUGUGGUUGAUUUAUUGCAUUAAAUUGUGUUGGUUUUUUUUUGUGUAUUAAUUCGUAGUACACAUCAACUUUUAAUCACACAAAGAGGAAAAUAGUUUGUUUUUACUUUAUUUGCAACUAUUUGUGUGGGUCCCUUUCCUAACAUUAUGAAUGACUGAAUGCUUUUGAUGUAUUUUCUUAAUGUACAAGAAGGAUUAUGUAUUUAUACAGGAGUUGAGGAAUUAUAUAUGGAAGAAAUAUAUUACAGAAAUAAUGAGAUUCAUUCUGAACUUAGACAUUAACUAGCCGUUGGUUAUGUUAUGAAGAAAAUCUAGACUUGAAUGGUAGUUGGCUAUCCAUUUUUUGGUAAGUCUGCAUGUCACGAGAUUAUGUGAGAUGAUUCCAUUGCAAGCCUUUGGUAAGAGCAAUACAAAUUGCCAUAUUUGUUUCCAAAGGUUUGUUACUUUCCUUGUUGAUGUUAGAUUGAGUUGAUGUGUUGAUCUUUUCCAUGUUGGUACAUUACGCGCGUGUCUGCAUAUAGUUCAUGUGUUGUGAUUGUUUGAAAUCCAUGAAUUCCACAUUUGGUGGGCAAAUUUUCCCACCACAUAAGAAGAGGAUAGAUGACUGACAAUUUGUGACGUAUUUUGGGCAAAUUGACUUAUAUCAUUAUAGUAUGAACGAAUCGUGAUAGAAUUUUGGUCUGUCAUAAAUCGAUGAUGGUUUUGUUAUAGAAUUAUUGUCUAUAAAGAAUUUAUGAUAGAAUAGUGAUAGAAAUUUUUUCUAUCAAGAAAUUGUGAUAGAAAUAUAAAUUUGACCAUGUUUGACCAAAAUUUUGAUUUAAUAUUUUAUUAAAAGAAAAAGAAAAAAAGGUGUAUUAUAAUUUCAUUGAUAAUUUAAAUUAUAUGAAAAAGUAAAUGAAGGAAUUGAACGGUGAGUUUUAUCAAAAUGCUACAAAAAGUACACCUCUCCAAACCUAAGAAAUUGAAACCUAGAAGCUCAAACCCUCACUCACGAUUAAAUAAUCUUCCUACAUUCACAGCCUAUUAACCUAAGUAAAAAAGUUGACUUUCAAAUCCCACCAAGAGGCCACACAGUAGAUGUCUUCCUAGCGGUUCUCUUCAAUUCACGAGAGUUUGAUCGAAAAUUAUGAAAGAGCUGGUGUUGAUUCUUGGCUUCAAUUCCAACAAAAGUGAAGCGGCGAGAAGAGAGAGGUAAGCAGAUAGAUACAGGUAAUGACAAGUAAUAUGUUGUUGGUGGUGGCUUGUGAGGUUUGGAUCAAGAUUCUAUCACAUCCUUCUACCACAGUGAUGUUACUUUCUAGAAAUCAUUAACUAAGGUAAUUUAACUAAUUAACUAAAUUUAAAUCUGUUAACUCUCAAUAUAAGGUUUACUUACAAAAAUGAACUCUAACUUGUCUUUUCAUUUGAUCACAUUAUGGCCAUUAUGUUUUUUUAGCCACCUAAAUUACGUUUGCCUGUGAUUUUCGGACACGAAGCCAUUAGGUAAUUCAAUUGAUCAACCUACUCUUUUUUUUCUUAAGUUCAUUUGCUUAAUUAUUCACUCUAUUGACUUAAUUAUCACUAGUGGCUUCCCUAAGAUUCUAGAGAUUGCAACUGUAUACACAUGGAUGACCCAACAAUCAAGUGAUCAACACAAUAAAUAAUAAUAUGAAUAAUCAUGAAAUAGGUAGGAGUUAGCUACUGAGAAAUAUUGUGCCAUAAUAUAAGAAACUUUGCAUCUUAUAACUUUUCCAGCCUUUUAUGAUGCAGAUUUUUCUGAAAGUUGAAUUGCAAUUCAAUGUUGCUUAUCCGAUUAUUUAUUGGACAAAAAGGAAUUUAAAAAUCAACUUUUAGUGAUUUAAAAAGAAUCGAACAUGCUACCAAGUCUCUUGUUAGAAGUUGUAAUUUCAUUGAUAGAUUCUAGGCUUCCAUGGACCUGUUAAGUAUUAAGUUAUCUCUUGCAAAAAAAAAAAAAAAAAUGUAUUCACUCUGCUAAGGGAACUAAUUAUUAUGGGAAAGGUAACGUUUCUAAUUCUGGAUAAUUUCUUUUUCUUUAAUGCAUAUAGCUAUUUUAGCCUACAUUUCUUUGUUAGUUAGAUAAUUCACAUAUAUGCAAAUGAAUUAUUUAUUUUAUUUACUUAUCUUUGAAAAAAAUAAAAAUAAAAGCAAUUUAAUAAACUGAUGUAAAUGCUAUUAUUAUUACUAAUUUGUUGGCUAUUUGCUAUGACUUCGACAAUGAUGUCUAUCAUAGAUAACAUUAUUUUCUUUUCUAAUUCUUCUAAAAGUAUCAAUUGAGAAUUUAGUGCAAACUUUAGCAAUUUCGCUAUAGAUUUAUUGUCAAAAUAGCUGAUGAAAGUUUAUAGGGGCUUUUUUUUUUUUUUUUUUUGCUUUUCUACAGUAAAAACAGCCCUUGCUAAAUGCAGGGGCUGUUUUCACUAUAGAACGACAGCAAGACAGCCUUUGUAGAUUUUUGAGGGGCNNNNNNNNNNNNNNNNNNNNNNNNNNNNNNNNNNNNNNNNNNNNNNNNNNNNNNNNNNNNNNNNNNNNNNNNNNNNNNNNNNNNNNNNNNNNNNNNNNNNUGGCAUUAUUUUUGAAGUUUGACAAUAUUAAUCUUGUGAUUAACACUUAAUGCAAAGAAAGGAAUACACUGAGGGUGAACUUAGUGAGGUUCUUUUGGAAUGGGCUAACCAUUUUUUCCACAUCCUUAUCGCAUUUGCAAAAUAGUUAGUAUGAGUAUGAAACUGUAGAUGGACCUUGUUAUUAGUUGUUACAAUUUGUUGAAAUUAAAGCUGUAGUGUUAAACUAUAAUGGUUGUUGUUAAGGAUUGCAGUAUAGAUGUUAUGCAUUUGAUAAUAUUAGGUAUUUUGAUUGAUUUUGGUGUAGAUUGGGUUGUUGGGUAUAGGUCAGAGUGUUGUUGUGUAUAUCGCUGGAUUUAGAGCGCUGUUGGAAGAUGGUGGGUUGUUACGUAUGAUUUGGAAUGUUGUUGGGUAUGCGGCUGGAAUUAUGAUCAAGAUGCAUGAGCCUUAAGUGGGUGAAUUUGAGGUUGGAUUUUAAAGUUCACUGAAGCACUCAACUACUUACAACAACUCCUAAAUGCAUAUGAAGUAAUUACUGCCACAAUAAUGGAGGUAUCGUUCAAAUUUGUAUUCUGAGACAAAGUCAUCUGGGUUUCAACCAUAAAUAAAAUAUGCAUUUGCAUAUAGUCUCAGUGUCUCCGAUGGCUGAUAUUUAGAAACUAUGACCAGCUCAGCUUAGGUGUUGAUGCAUUGACCAAUUAAAUCAACGAUAAAUAAAUUACUAGCAAGAUUAACAUUAUGAUAUCCCUGAAAAGUAUCGUCUGAUGAUUAUUAAUCCAUUAGAGGUAUCAUUUCUACUGAUAGAGAUGUUUCCAAGAAAACCGAGUUCAGGUUUUUUUGGUGAAAAUAAGUCCUGAAAAAGAACUUAGUACCUUCGCUUUAGAAUUGACAUUUGUGGAUCAGGAAUUGGCUUGGAACACAAGGGAAGGGUUUAGAUAAUUAGCACUCGCAAAUAAUACAACUCGUAUUAUUGAAAAAAUAAUAAUAAUAACUCAUAUUCUUACUUUGAUUGUUUACAAAGUGUGAAUUUACAAAAGUUAUGUACAUAAUGAAAUAGCUAGCUAUAAGAGAUUUAAUUACAUAACUACCUAAACUACAAAAUAUGUAAUGAAAUACUUCCUUUUUAAAGAUACAUGAUAUUCUAAAUUCUUGGUAGUGAAAUUCAAUGAUAGCCUUGACUUGUGCAAGCUCUGCUGUGUGUUUUAACCGUUGGUGAAUUUUCUUUUGUUGACCAUUUACAGCUUGCUUAUUAGUCCCCCUCAAGUUGGCAAGUGACAUACGAUCUAGAUUCUACGGUUUUGUCAAAAAUUGCCAAACAUGACUUUCGAGAGAGCGGUGAAUACAUCGACAAUUUCCAUGGAAGAAGGAACUAGUUUUGUCACCAUCGAAGGGACUGAUUUUUUUGCCAUCAGACCUUCUGCAUCCUUUUCUCGAAGAAAGUGAUAAUCAACCUCUAUAUGCUUGAAGCGAGAAUGGAAGACAAGAUUAAUAGUCAUGUAUAAAGCACUUAAAUUAUCACUAAGCAAUUGAGGACGUUGAGCGAGAGAAAUCCUUAUUUCAGGAAAGAGAUAUGUGAUCCAUGUUAGCUCAGUUGCUGUCAAAGCAAGUGCCUUAUAUUCAACCUCUUCAUUGGGUCUAGAUACUGUAGGUUGCUUUUCGGAGGACCAAGAGAUACAUUUAAGGCUUCGCGGUAACUUACUUUCAAUUCUCUGUCUAUGGUGUUAUCCCAUCACAUGCAAGUGGGAGAUAUUGGAAUUGGUGCCCAUAAUGGGCUAGAUAGGCCCAAGAAAAGAAACAUGUAAAAGCUUAUUUUAUACAGAGUUUAAUAUGACUAUUGCAAGUCUAAUUAGCUUUGAGAGUUAUGAAGUCUUUUGAUUGACUUCAAUCACUCUUAUUAGCUCCCAUAUAAACAUACCUAAUUACCUAUUGUAUCUAAAAUAGAUGACUAUGAUUCUGUACACGUGCAAUGAUUCCGAAGCAGCCAGCUAUAUGCUUGAUUUCUUCAAGCUAUGCUUAUAUAUAUUUAAAAAUUGAGAGCUACUUGCUUACAUUCGGUGGCUAUACAAAAUGAAUUUUUUUUUUUUUUACAGUUGCUUCAUUUACCAAAUUUGAGAAAUGAGAGCAAACAAAGGAAAAUGGAAGAGAAAUAAGAAAGUGGAAAAGAGAAAAGAGAAGAAAAGGAAAAUAAGAAAAAUAAGAAAGAAGCUGAAUGUGGGAAAAAAGAAAAAGAAAGGAAAAGGAGAAAAAAUAUUAGGGGAAAUAGAAUUAGAUAGUUAGAUCUACAUUAAGUGAGUUAGUGGGUAAUAGAUUUAUGAAAUUUAAGUAGUUGUGAUUUAAUUUGCCUUAUACGUACAAGUUUUUAUAUUAGUUCUAGCAAUUAAUUUUUAAUCCUAUAUUUUAGGAGAAAUCCAAAAAUCUAAGAACCCACACGAGCCCCCAACGAAUUCGGAGUGAAACAACCUCUGUGGGGAUACUAUUAUUACUAUUAUGUAUUCCAUGAAACAUUUAUGUUUAGUAGUAUGAUUUAAUAUAAUGUUAUGAUUACAUGUACAAAUAUUAUAUAUUUGAUUAAGUCAUAAAAUAUGACUUGCUUUUAUAAACUAUGUGCAUGCAUAUUGAGAGUUAUUUCCUUGGGUAUUAUUAGGUGCAGUUUUGUCAUGUAUGUAUUAUUUCCCAUGUUUACAGAUGCAUUACUUUAUUAUUAUUAUUAUUAUUAUAUAUAGUCGUUCUCUCAUACGGACACCCGCAACUUAAAAAAAAUGCGGGUGCUCACAUUUCGGCCGUUGGAUCCCAUCAACGGUUGGAUUAAAUUGUGAAAGUAAAAGCAACUUCGACAUUUUCUCUUGUGUGGGCAUGUCUUCAAAACUUUGGAAAAAAAAAUUAUUUCUUUUAUUUAAUGGGGAUCAGGCUACGGUGCAACUGUGGUACCGUGCCACAGUUGCAUUCAGCCGUUGAUGCACUUGAAUUGCUGGGGUCCACUGACAUUCAAUGGUUGGAUGCAACUGUGAUAUGGUACCACAGUUGCACCACAGGUUUCCCAUUUAAUUGGACCAUGAUAUACUAGUUUUUAAUUUCUCUCUCUUCUCCCAACUCCAUCUUCCCACACCAAAGAGCAAUCCGCAAUUAAUACCUAUAGCAAUUAGUUGUCUGCUAAUGAGAAGCGAAAUAUCAACGAUCUAGACCUGUUUGCUCCGAAACCAUGAACCAGAACUAGAGCAGGACCACCGCUUCUCGAAUAAUAUCCUCAGUGCUGUUAACUUAAAAUUUAGAUACUGCCCAUAGAAGCUGAGUUUAUGACCCCACUGGUGAAGUUUGAUUGGUAACUUAAUUUUUUUUUGUUUUUCUCUUCUCCUAUCUCCAUCUAAUGAGAUUUGGCAGUACUCUCACUCACGCACAUAUGAAAAUUGAAUGUAGAUUUUUUUAAUUCCUUUCCUUUUUUUCUCCCCCAAAACUAAAACUUGUUGAUUUUAAUUUUUUAAUUUUCAAAGAUAAAUAUACAGUUAUCAUCAUCACCAUUUUUGCUUCUCCAUCUUUCCAUCAUCAAAAUUAUCCUUCCGAUCGAAGAAGAUGAAGCAAAAGAAGAAAAACACACUUCAGUAAGUUACCCAAAAAAAAAAAAAUUAACGACCCAUCUAAAUAAUCAAGCUGAAAGGUAUCUAUAACAGAAGAUUUUCUCAAAAAAAAAAUUACGGAAAUUGAAGAAGAAAAAACACAGGCCAGGACAUUCUUAAGAAAUUUGAAAGUUCAUGAAAGAAGAGCAAAAUGAGGCAUUUAAGCCACAUCUAAGGAAUAUUAGAAGAGUAACAUGUUGGACAUGUCAUCUCCAGCCACGUCGCUGUUGAUGAUGAAGAUGAUCCAACGAUUUGGCUUCUUGGGUGUGGGAAGAUAGAGUUGGGAGAAGAGAGAGAAUCAGAGAAAUUAAAAACUAGUUAUCAUCGUCCCCAUUAAAUAAAAGAAAUAAUUUUUUUUCCAAAGUUUGAAGACAGGCCCACACAAGAGAAAAUGUCGGAGUUGCUUUUACUUUCACAAUUUAAUCCAGCCGUUGAUGGGAUCCAAUGGCCGAAACGUGAGCACCCGCAUUUUUUUGAAGUUGCGGGUGUCCGCGUGAGAGAACGACUGUACAUAUAUACAUAUAAAGUAGUUUUUUGGUCAGGGAUUUUAAAGUACGGAAAAGUCCGGAAAAGUUUUAAAACCACAUGGCUUUAAAGACCUACAGUUUUACGCUUUUAAAACCAUGCGUACUUUCCCGCACUUUAAAAUUCAUGACUGAAACAUUUCUAUAUAUAUAUAUAUAUGACCGCAAGCUCAUUAUUUUCCUAUUUAUCCCUUUUCAGCCAGGAUUUCGCAAGAUUUCGUGCUGAUCAAUUCUAGUCAAUUAAAGUUGGGCCACGAGACGUAUUGCCGCAUGACUUGCAUUUUGAACACGUUUAUGUUACUUAUGUUUUUAUGUAUAUAUAUUUGUAGGGUAAGUAUAUAUAGUGAGAUAUGAACUGUGUACGUUUUGAAUAUAUAUUUUCGGAUGAGGUAUAGAGGUUGUUAUGUGUUUAUAGUGGAGACCAUUUUUAUAUAUUCAUGAAUUAAAUUUGUGCCGUGAGUUUUAGUUAUUAGAUCGUAUGAUUCGCCUCGGAUUUGACAUAUAGGUCAGGGCAAGCCGUGUCAUGUGAUAAGGGUGUGACAGAAUGAAAAAUAUGAAGAAGAUAUUAGAAAACACAGGGAUUGAAAACAAGAGAAAAUGGCAGUGGGCUCUGGCAAUGUGAUACGAGGGGAUUUUCUUUUAUUAUAAUUAUCCUCCGACCAUAGACAUACAGUAGCAUGAUGGUUUUCUUUGAAAUUAUCCUUUGUCUCUAAUCAACUUGACAGUGAUAUAACUUAUUGUGAUCUGCUUCCGCAUUCAAGUAUCAAAAUGUAUGUUUUUGGAUAUCCUAUUAACUGUAUGUUGAAUAUGUACGGAUAUCAACACUUAUCAUUUUGAAGCUAUCAAAAGAUAGACUAUAGUUUGCAAUAAGAACAAUGUAGGUUGAGUUUUGUUGGUAGAAAGAACUUAGACAUAAAUUUUAAUGAAAAUGCCUAAUUUGGAAAAUUUGAUAUACGUUUAGUGAAUGAAAAAGGCUGCAUGUAUUUAAAAUAGCACAAAAUUUAAUGAAAAAAUUCUACGUGUUCAGUAUUAACUCAUGUUACGGAAAUGUGGGGUUGAGCAAUUACUAAUAUUCUAGUAGCUGCGACUUCUGGAGAAAUAUAAAUGUAGCGUAAACAAAUGCAAAGAAAAUAGGACACAAUAAUUUACAUGGUUCGGCGUAAAGCCUAUGUCCAUGGGCAAACACUGGAAAAUAAUUCUACUAAUAAUAGGAAUUUAUAAAAGUGGGAGAAACUCUCAACACCCCAAACCCCAAUACACUCAAAUGGAACCUCACUGGAACACUCAAGUUGAAGUUCUCUCAAAUCGCUUCACUUGCAAUUGCUCUCUACCACUACUACAAAAAUGACAUUUACUGACACUUCGUAAAAAGUGUCAGUAAUGGUAUACAUUUGGAUCAUUUUUUCCAUUUAACAAAUAUGUAUUAUAAAUCACUGGUACUAAGGUGUCAGUAGCAUAAAACUCAAUAAUUACUGAUACUUUAGUAUCAGUGAUAAAAACAAAUAUAAUUCUAAUUAUGUUUUUACUUGGACUCGAACUCAAUAUCUCCGAAGUUAAAAUUUUAAUUUCAAACUACAAACCACUUGUGUGCAUAUUUUCUUUGUUUGGUUAAACCGUAUAUAAUUAACUACAAACCCUUUGCUAUAAUUUAACACAAAAUUUUUGAUCUCCCUCCACCAAAAUUUGUUCCCUCUCAAACAAACUAAAAUCCAAAUCCCUAAAAUUCCAAGUGCCUAAAUCCCUAACUCUCCCUAAGCGCUAACCAGCGGCAGCCCCUCUUUAAGGCCUUACCAGCACGCACGAUGACAACGGCACACGCAACCCGCGCGGCGGCAGCCCAGCAGGUCUCACCACACACUACAGUAGCUCGCUCGCUUUCACUCUCUCUCUAAAGGCACACACAGCAGUGUCAACCCCUCUCUUUCACGCUCGUUUAGUCGCUCUCACUUUCUCCGUCUCUGGUCACCAUCUCACCCUCCAGUCUAAAUUAUUGCCGUUCCAGCCGCGUUCAGCCGUAGCUAUCGCGCCAGGUGCCUGAGACAGUGAGUUGAGAUUCCACUUUUUAAUUUUUCAUUAAUUUUUUGUCUGAAUUAGAUUAGUCAAAUACUUAAAUUAAUUGAGUUGUGAGUAAUACUGUAAUAAUAUAAUUUGCCCCGCAUCCCCUGAAGAAGGUAAGCAACUCCAUUUUUAGGGUUCGUGUAGUAGUUGUCUUGCCUGAAUCACCUUAGUAAUCAUAAGGUCGAUUUUCUCAAGAAGGGUAACUUCGAUCUUUUGGCAUUUUCAGUGCUUCUUCCGAAUCUCUCUUCACUGUAGCUUGCUUCUGCAUGUGAUUUGAGGGCCAAGAAUUUAUCUUAAGGGUGAAUCAUAUUAUGUUUCAAUUCUAUGUUUGACCCUUUUAACUUUUGAAUUUCAACAUUAUGUGUUUAGUGUUCCGUCAGUUGUUUUAUCAAAUACAUAGGCCUCUGGGCUUUAGACACUAGUGUUCAAAAUUGCCAUCUAGUUUUUAUGGUAUCUUUGAGCAGGGGUUCCGUUUCAUUUGCUUGAAUAUAUAAAAUAUCAGUUUUCAUUGUCAUGGAUAAAAAAAAAAACAAGGCUUUGGCCAAUGGUACCUCAGGAGGUCAAAGCCAAGGCUUCCAAAGACAAUGUUCCCACGAUCGAUGUGACUCAAUUUGGCUACUUUAAGGUUUUGGGUAAGGGCCUUUUGCUUGAGAACCAACUCGUUGUGGUGAAGCGUUUCCAAAACAGCCAAGAAGAAAAUUAAAAAAGCUGGUGGGUCUGUUGUGUUUACUGCUUAGGUUUAUUGUUAUUGCUUUUAUAAUUUUUUUUCUGAUAUUUUGGUUUCAGCUUUUGAGUAUUUGACUAUAUAGUUUUGGAUAUUAUCAUCGGAAACUUUUUGCUUUAUAUUAAGACCUGUUAUUGAUUAAUAAUAAUAAUAAUAAUAAAAAUAAAAAUAAUAUGUUACAGAAAAUGUUUUAAUUUCUUUCUUCCAUUCAGCACUCGUAGUAUUUAUUUGAUUCGAUUUCUGUCAUGGUGUGUUGAUUAUGCGGAUGAUAAGAUACUACCUUGCUCAUUUACUUAUGCUUGAUUCCUUAUACUAGAAACAUACCUCUAGUAGAGUUGCCAUUUAUCUACUUUAUUGUUGUAAAAUCUGUUAUAAAAUGUAUAAGCAAUCAUUCAUUUGAACUCUCUUUAUACGCUUAAAAUCUGAAUUCAUGUAUGAGGUGUUAGUGUCAAUGUUGUUGAUCAUUUCAGUAAGUAGUGCCAAUUUAUAAUGACCUUGGUGCAUUUCUAUUCAGUUAGUAAACUUUUGUCAUUUAAGUUGUUUAUUUGUUUAACAAAUGUAUAACUAGUUUCUACAAAUUUACUUUGUGUAUAAUAGAUGAUUCAAAAUCUUGGCAUAGAGGAAAGUGAAGUUUCUGAGGUAAAUAGGGUACUUUACAAAAACUAUACCACAUUAAUGGCUGGUCUAAGAUACAUUAUAUAUGUAAGUUUAAAUGCACUAUUAUUUAUAUACAUAUCCUUGCAAAAAAAAAACCAAUAAAAGCAGUUUCAUAAACUGAUGUAAAUGCUGUUAUUAUUGUUAAUUUACAGGCUAUCUGCUAUGACUUCAACAAUGAUGACUAUCAUAGGUAACAUUAUUUUCCUUUCUAAUUCAUCUGAAAGUGUUAAUUUGCAAGGGCUGUUUCUACUAUAGAACAGCAACAAGAGAGCCCCUGUAAAUUUCUAGUGGCUGUUUUCACUGCACAACAGCCCCUACAGAUUUCCCGGGGCUGUUGUUGCUAUUCUAAAGUCAAAACAACUCCUAUAAUUUUUUUGGGCUAUUUUGCAAUGAAAAUACUUUUGAGGAUUGUUGAGGAAGGAGGGGAAUGAGAGCGGUAGUUUUUUAGAAGGCUUGAUGAGAGUUUCAUAAAUUUGACAAGUUUUAUGAGAUUAAAGUCAAAGAAGUUUAUAUUAAGGCUGAAAGUUUGAGUGGGCAAAUGGAUGUUUUGAUUGCAGAUUUCUGUUGUUUGAUUAUAAAAAAUAGGAAGUUUUUAAUUAGAUUGACUUAGAUGUUUUGUUUUCUGUGACUUGUAGCAGGUUAUCCAACAUGGCUUCUUCAGACAACUUAAGCUAAGGUUCUUUAUUUCUAUAACUUUCAGUAUUAUUGUAAUCUUAUUUCUUAUUGUUUUAUUAGUUGUUGAAACAUCCUUCAAUUGCUUUGUUUAACUACUCACAAUCAAUUUGUUUUCCAUAAUCUAUUUCCAUACUAAUUGAUUUUAUGUUGUUGUAGGUGGGAAAAAAAUGAAGCUGCAGAUGGAUGUUGAGUGAUGUUCUUGUGCUUCUUUUUGGUGGAAACUAAAUUAGUACUUUGUGGUUGUUGAAAACUUAAUUUAGUACUUAUAUUUUUCUUUUCCAGAUAUUGGUGUAGUUGAAUCAUGUGAAUUUGAGUGAUGUAUUUGGGAUGUUUAUUAUGUGAAUUAUAUUGCGACAUUUUAUAUAUUUAAUAUAUUUUGAGCUUUCUUUUGGUUGUAAAACAUUCAGGAAAAAUAUAAUUAGAAUAAAAAAAAUUUAUUAAGCAAUCCUGCAUAACAUUAUUAAAUACUGACACUAAAUAUUUAAAUUGACAUGAAUAAUUUUUUAUAUUAUCGAGCUAGCUUGUUAUUGAUACUAUAGUCACAUAAAUCACUGACAUAUAAAUAGUAUCAUCAAAUAUUAACACUAUCGUAUCAUUAUUUUGGUGAUACUAUAGUGACAUGAAUUACUAAUACAAAAAUCACUGACACUAAAAAUUAGUGUCAGUGUGUUAUGGCUUGAGCAUUACUGACACAAUUAACAAGUGUCAGGAAAAGUACUUACUGACACUAAUUUAGUGUCAGGUCAGUAAAGCCCAUUUUUGUAGUAGUGUACUUCUCUCAAAUUGGGAUGUUUACAAUUGCAAAAUGCUUCUAUAUUUAUAGAGAGCAUUUUGCACUAAGUUGGGUUCAAUUGGCCAAAACAUUGAGCUGGAACUUGCAUUGCAUGCGUUAAAGUCAUGCAUAUUUGUCAACAAUUGCAUGUGUAAUUUGUUGCCAUCUUCAAUUUUCAACAUCACCCUUCAAUUUUCAACAUCACCGAAUUGCAUGAACAAAAUUUUCAAAACCUUUUUCAUGCUUUCAAAACCUAACUUUGUCUUUUCUACUCAAGUCAAAAUUUCAACAACUCCAUGGACUAAGAGAUUUUGGAGGGCACAAGCUAUAAAUUUCUUAUCUUUUCUUAUCUUUUUGAAGCUGUCAAAAGAUACGCUAUAGUUUGCAAUAAGAACAGUGCUGGCUAAGUGUUGGCGGUAGAAAGAAUUUAAAGAUAAAUUUUAAUAAAGAAGGUUAAUUUGGAAAUUUUAUAUGCGUUUAGUGAAUGAAUAAUGCUGCAUGUAUUUAAAAUAGCACAAAAUUUAAUACAAAAGCAUAAAAAAUUAAAAAAUUCUUGUGCUGUGGUGAAUUCUUUUCUUGUAACGAAACUUUUUAUUUUUUUUAGUGAUGGCAUACUAUUUUUUACUAUCUUUUUUUCUUAUACAUUGGUAUUGUCAGCCAACGGAUGAAUAAAUGGUAAAAUAUUGAUGUGAAAAAUCUCUGCUACCUUUUCGAAUUUUAUUUUUUAAAAGAUAGAGAUAAAUGAUUUCAAAUUAAUCUUUUAACUCUCUAACUUUUGUCAAAUUUAAAUUUGAAUAGCCAACAAAAUAAAAUUAAUUGAAAACUCUACCUCCGUGCUCUGAGUGCAAUUAUUUUGACUCAAAUUAAUGUCUUAAAAUUUUGAAAAACUGACCAGCACAUUGAAUACAUACAAUGUGCCUGUAUAUAGAUCACACCCUGCCAAUCAUGGUGUUAUAAUUAUUGAAUCAUUGAUUAGUAAAUGUAUCUUACUGUCCUUUUCUCAUGCACAUGCGUCAUUACGAAAUCAUUACAAAAUCAAAGUUAAUGUAUGUACCAUAAUUUAAAGGCACAAAAAUUACCCCAAGUGUCCAAAUAAAAAAGAAAGAAAGAAACUAUCUCGAAAAAUUAAAUAAGUAAAUAAAUUAUAUCCAAUCUAUUCCGGAUAAAGUAACACGGGAACAAAAUUCUCCUAGCACUUACGAUAAUAAGUAAGAGUAAAAAAUCAUUCUAAUUUUGGGAUUCCGGGGUCUGAGGGAACCACGACUAAUUCCGAGAUUUCGGGGUCUGAGGGAACCACGCCCAAGAUCAUAGGAGUAGGGAAGCACAUGGGCGGGUCCGGGAUAAAUAUAUUUAUUUCCCUAGGAACAAGUUCACGUCCACGUGUGCAAUAAUAGUUGGUGGUACGUGUCAUCAAGGAGAGAGACCAAGGCAAAACCCUAGACCCAUGUCAUCCAUCAACUAUAAAUAGGGACCAUCUCACCAAGAAAAGUGGAUCUCUCCCAAGCCAAAAAAACCCUAAUCUUGUUUAUUGUUCUUGCUUCCAUUAGACCUUAAAAUCGAACACUGACUUGGGCGUCGGAGUGCCUUUUUCAGGUACCCACCACACCAGAUUCGAGUUCAACACGUGUCACAAGUUCUCCACAAAUCAAAAGUACGUGUGAAGGUAAAUUCUUACUCCUUCAAUUAACAAUGUUGUUAGAUUGUAACUUGUUAGAUUAUAUCUAAUCGCAUUUGCAAAUAUUCAUAUGAGGAGUUAAAGAUGCUUGCAUACAGUUAGGUAGCAUUUGUUUUUUUAUCUGAAAUCUAAAUGGGUCUAAAUUUUUCUAAAGUCUGAAUGAGUUUGAUUAUGAAAAAAUGAAUGACAUGUUUUUUUCCGUUUUUAAAUAUAUAAAUAUAAGUGGUAUCUUAUUUAUUUUCACAAUAAAAAACAUCUUAAAUUUAGUUAUUUGACAUUUAUGUCCUUGUAAAUUAAAACAAAAAAAAAGGAUUAGAUUUUGUAGUUUAAAAAAUAAAUUAUUUUACAGAGAUAUUUUUAGAAUAUAAUAUUUACUUGUCAUUCAUACCUUUUUUCAUUUAGAUAAAAGUUACAAAAGUUUACUUUUUCUAUUCAGAUGUAAAUAUCUAAAAAUCAGACAUAAGUUUAAAAAAAAAACAAGUAUAUUUUAGAAAAAGUCUGAAAUUAAUAAAAUUUCAGACUUCAAAUAUUUAACAAACAACUUCUUAGUCCACAUUUGCGAGCAAGCGUGAUUAUAUAUAAUGUGCUUCUCCAUUAUAGUGUGUGAUCAAUCAGGCAAGCUUAAUUUAAAUGAUCAUCAGUAUCUAUGGAUGCGAAUCAAGAUCAAGGAGCAAAAGAGUUGUUUCAAGGCCAAGCUCAACUGUAUAAGCUCAUGUUUAGUCAUUUAAGCUCGACGUCACUCAAGUGCGCGAUUGAGCUGGGCAUAGCGGAUAUAAUUCACAGCCACGGACGGGCCAUCACUCUUUCUGAGUUGGUCUCGGCACUUGAUAUUCAGCCUACAAAAACGACUAGCCUAUUCAGGCUCAUGCGCUUGUUAGUGCACUCAGGCUGCUUUAACAAAACCAAAGUCAAUGGACAAGAAGAAGUAUACGGACUCACAGCUGCUUCUACUCUGCUCAUCAAAGACAAGCCCUACAGCAUGUCACCAACUGUUUCAGCAUUUGUUGACCCACUUUUUGUCGCUCCAUUUCAGUCUUUAAGUAGUUGGUUCAAAGGGACUGAGCUCACGUUGUGGGAAACUGUUCAUGGAAUCAAGUUCUGGGAAUUUAUGAAUCAAAACCCUGGAAUAAACCAGCGGUUCAAUGAAGCAAUGGCCGGUGACACUGAAAUAAUGACAAGCUUUGUUGUCAAAGUCGAGUGUAAGCAAAUCUUUGAAGGGUUGGGCACAUUGGUUGACGUAGGAGGUGGCAACGGAUCUUUUUCCAGAAUCAUCUCUGAAGCAUUCCCUGGCAUCAAAUGCACUGUACUCGACCUCCCGCAUGUUGUUGCUAACUUGCCUGAGGCCGACAACUUUAAAUACAUAGCAGGUGACAUGUUUCAGUUUAUCCCUCCGGCAGAUGCCUUUCUCUUCAAGGUAAGAUCCAAUUUUAAAAAUUUAAAACAACUUCUUAACCGUUUUCGUGAAUACCAGAAGAUUUAUUUCAAUUGUUCUGUGCGCAGCACAUAUAUCCGGACGUUCGAUCUUACAAAAUCAGGAUUUGAAUGAUUCAAAUCAGAUUUAAAGUAACUGCAAAAUGCUAUACAACUCUAAAUUUAAUUAACAUUUGGAUUUUACAGAAUCUAGAAGUUUAGGCUUGAGCAUGACCAUUUACGUAGUCAUUUUAUAGUGCGGUUGCCCGCAUUUUUUCAAGUGUAGAUUCGAAGUUUACAAUAUUGGUAAAGGCUUGUAUAACAUUGAAACUUAUUUUUUCAUAACUUAUAUGUAUAUGUAUAUAUGUGUGUGUGUUUAUAGGCGGAGUAAUAAAACGUUUUAUCUACAACACUAUAAAAUUAUUUUACAAUAUUUAAAACAACGAAUCUCCAUUCUAAAAAGUGUGAUUUGUGUAUGUAUAUAGAUAGAUGGAUAGAUAGACACACGCACGAACUGUUGGGAUUUUAUUAAAAAGAAAAAGUAUCCUAUAUUUUAACUAAAAUGUUAGAUCAAACAACGGAACUGGAACUGCACUAUAAGUGGUGGGUAUUGAUUAAAUGAGUGAUUGGCAUGCUUGCAGUUGGUUUUUCAUGGAUUAGGUGAUGAGGAUGGGUUGAAGAUACUGAAGAAACGCAGAGAAGCAAUUGCAAGCAAUGGUGAGAGAGGAAAGGUAAUAAUAAUAGAUAUCGUUAUCAAUGCAGAGGAAGAGGAACACGAAUUAACCGAAACAAAGUUCUUGUUUGACAUUGUGCUGAGCGUUAACUCUACUGGAAAAGAGAGAACUGAAAGUGAAUGGGCAAAGCUAUUCUUCGAUGCUGGUUUCAGUCACUACAAAAUAACACCUAUAUUUGGCAUGAGGUCCCUCAUUGAAGUCUAUCCAUAAAGAAUUGAGCAACCGUAUUCCCGCAAGUCUCUUGUACUGCUUGAUGGAAUAGCAAAAUAUCGUUCAAGAUUUAAGUGUACGUAGUAGUUGAAAUGUCCCGAAAUGACUAGAAAAUGAGGUGACACACGGGUUUAAAUAUAGGAUGAGUCACUCAAUUAAAAUGCUAUAGUCUUUUGGGAUGGAAACUUAAAUAUCCUAGACCACCCUUUAAUAUAUUAAGAAUAAAGGAUUUGUGUGUACUAUGUUAUAUUGCAUUUUGUUAUUGUUUCCAGCAUCUGCUCUUAUGUUUUAUCUUUACUAAUAAAGUUACGAUCUUGCUUAAGUUAUUGUGUUCUCAAAACAACUGCAAAAUAAUUUAUAUUGGUACUUUGGAUAUUUACAAUUAGGUUGUACAUUAAUGACAAAUGAUUCAAAAUUUAUCUUUGCAAUGUAAGUAAAAAAAAAUAAUUAGUAAAAAAUUAAAAAAGUAAAAAUAACCUAUUCAUAUUAAUGAGUAAUAUUACUAUUAAAAAUUAAUAUUUCAAAAGUAUAACAUCCCCACGAUUCUUCUAAGCCAAUCAGAAACAUCAUCAGCUAAGAUUGUUUGAUGGAAGACAAAAUUGAAGUUUACUUAUUUUAUUUAGUAUUUUAAUUUUUUCAAGCAGUAUUUAUAAUUGGACUUUUAUUUGGGGGUGCAUGGAUUCUCCUUUCCAGUUUACUAUUAGAAAGAUUAUGUCACGGGUUUAAUAAUUUUUUAUCAUUAAAAUCCUUAUUUUAUGCGAGGGUUUUAUCUAUCUUGAUCACAUUUCCACUAUGUUAUUAAGAAAAUCUUCAAAAAACAUGCAGUAUAAUAUCCAAGUCAACUCAAUCAAGGGAGGCUAAUUAAAACUGAGGAUCAAAUAGCACAAUCAACCUUACAUAACAAGCAGGAAUAAUGAAAGCCUUGAAUUAAUCACUAGCCGUUAGUCCUCUAUCCGUUUCGUUUAAUUUAACUAGGUGGAAGCCAAGAAUCUUGAGCAAAACUCUAUGCCCCAUAUUGUAUAUGUAUCCAACAAUUCGUCAAUGAAACUUUUUUUUAUGGUAUCACAGCCAAUCUUGAGAAUCACAGACAUGCAUAGUUAUUAUGUUUCAAUGAAAAAAAGUUUGCCACUAGUGAACCUCUUAAGAAAGUUGGCUUGCUUGACUGUAGAUCAGUAUACAAAAGAAAUUCAAAUCUAUUUGUGAUUAUUUGAUUGAUUAAAUGUUUUUCCCAAUACAUUCAGAUUUCAGAAAGUUUCAAAAGAAAGCUGAAAAAAUAUAUCAAUAAUUGAAAUGAAAAAAAGUUAGAAAUUUCAUUUGACAUAUUAUCAUUUAUCUUGCUUCGCUUCGUAUCAUUUGUGUAUUUUAUUGUCUUUGAAGCAUAUGAUUUUUUUUGUUUGGUACUAUGUUGGUGUUGUUUUAAUUUCUAUAUUAAGAAACGUGAUUGUUAUAUGGAAGACAUAUUUUGCAGAAAUAAUGGGAUUCAUUCUAAACCUAGACAUUGACUAGCUAGCCGUACACUACAAGAAAAUGGAACAUUUCCGAGGGCAAGUACCCUUGGAAAUAGACAAAGACUCUCGAAAAAACUCAUUUUCAAGCAGGACAUGCCGUCGAUCGUCGUCGUAUUAAGUCUUAUCGAAAAUGUUGAGUUUCUGAUGAGUCGUUGGAGAAAAAAAAAAUUUCCGAGGAUGUUGCCGUCGGAUAUGGAAUUAAAUGCCCCACGAAAUAAGAUAAGAUAAACCUAGUUAUUUUUAUAUUCAACUGCAACAUGCUCUCAUAAAUAAAAGAUACACUGUCGGAAAUAGACUUAUUUCAUUAAUUUUUUUAUUUUUAUUGUUGAAAUAUCUAUAUUAGGGAAGUAAUGUAACAAACAUAAUAAUAAUAUACGAAAUAUACUAAAUGUAACUUCAUUAAUUUCAAAAAUUCAUAAAAUCACAUUCAUCAUUCAAAAAUACAACAAAAAUAUCAAUUUUAUACUAUCUUUUACAGAAAAAAAAUAUACCCAAGUAUAUGCAAAAUGAUAUCACCAUAUCUUAAAUAUGUUCAAUCAUCCUCUAAAAUAACUUCAGUUUCUGAAUCAUUUACCUCAACUUCAUCAUCCUCAUACCCAUCAUCAUCUUCUCCCGUCAAAACAAUGUCCUAGGUGAAAGAAGGAAUUUUAAUCAUUAUUAUUACCAAAACAAGAACUUGUAUGAAAUAUAAUCAAGAAACUGAGACUAAUGAGAAAAAUAUUGUAAUAAAAACAACUUUAUAUCGAUGCAUAGUCUCCAUUUCAAAAAAUCUAAUAAUUAUUCCAUCAUUCACCUAUAUUAGAAGCUUGUCCAUAAUUACUUAAGUUCAUCAACUAAUAGAGCAAUGACAAGUCACCAAUCAUUUUUCAUGAGAACUCAAAAUAUAGAACACUUCAUUCACUUAAUCUAUUAAUAAAAUGAAAUAAACAACUUAUAGCUUCUGAGAUGAUUCUUGUGCAGACUUUCCAAGAACAAGUUUUAUCAUUCUUUUCAACUUCUUGAUUUCUUUCUCUAAGUCUUUUACUUUUACUUCCAAAUUACUACAUUGAUUCUUGUUACCUCCUUAAAUUGGCGAACCAUACACAUCCUUGCCUUUGAUGCCUGCUCCCUAACCAACAACACGACCAUGUGCUGCUUCUCUUGUCACUUCACGAGAUAUUUUCCAUUCAUCCACUGGCAAGCCUUGAUCUAUAACAGUGAAUCUCCUUGAUUCCAUUGUUUCCUAUAAUAAAUACAAACAUUUGUGUUAGUGCAUAUAGUAAUGAAAUCAUGCAAAUAAAUCCAGAAUAUUAUGAAAAUUUAAUAUCAAAUACACACAUGCAUUUCCUUUGCCUUGUUACUUGCCCAUGUCCCCUUACAUGAAACAUCUUGAAUAAAUCAAGUGGACUAAGUUAAGUACCUAUUUGUUACUGCAAUAAAGAAUUGAAAUUCAAUAAGAUCAUAAUAAAUAAACACACUUCUUUUAUGAUCAAAGUCAAACAUGUUCUCUUCCCAUUUUCUGUUCUAUGCUUGGCCAUUGGGACGAAUUUGUAGUAUGAAUAAGUUUGGACUUGGUUCAAUUCCUCUUGGUCGUUGUGCCUGUUUUCUAUAUAUAAUUUUUAAAAAAGCAUAAAAUCAACUUGGUUACUCUGAACCCAUUGUUGAGUGCUAGAGAAUUCAUAUUUAUAGAGGGUAAAAUUAUCAUUUUAUGCUCCAAGUCUCACUAACAUUUUCACUUUUACAUGUUUAAAUCCUCUAAGCUUUUAUUAUGUGUGUUUUAUUAUAAUUUAAGUAUUUUAUAUAUUUCAGAGAUAUUUUGGCCAUUUUAUGACUAACGAGAAGUCAGACAACAAAACUGAUGGUAUUUUUGAACUCAUAAUGGUCAAAAACCUUAGGAAGAGCAUAAAUGGAUAUUCGGCAUACGGUACUGUUCACAUAUUAGGUAAUAUUCACAAGUACAACACUGUUUCACAUAUACGGUAUGAUGAUGUGGCAUUGACCGAUGAUGUGACAUUGACCAAUGAUGUGACAUUGACCGAUGAUGUGACAUUGACCGAUGAUGUGGCAGGAUGUUAUUGGACUAAAAUACUGAUGUGGCAUUGACUGAUGAUGUGGCAGCAUCUUAUGGGACCGAAAUGUUGAUGUGGUGUUGACUAAUAAUGUGUGCCAACCAAUCAAAGCUUGUCAUGUGGUGCAAUCAUGAGCGUAUGAAUUAUUUUCAUUUGAUGGCCAUGAUUUACCUAUUGUAUUUAUAAAUAGAGGGCUCCUCCACCUAAUUUGACACCCUUGAAUCUAUUUUCGAGCUCCAUUUUCUAUAAUUAUGUCUCCAUCUUGUAUUUUCUACAUAUUUUAAUAAAAUUAUCAUUUUACUCCUUGUUCAAUUAUAAGUGGCUAGUUUAUUUCAAACUUGGGUUGAAGGUGAAGGCUAAACAUAAUCUGUGGGCUUAGGUAAGUUUUUUUUUUCUCUCUGAUUUAUGUGGUUGUUUUGACUCAUUGUCGACAGACAGUGUAUCCUAUCUAGAUUUUGCACAGUAUACCUGCUCCCUACUGAAGGAUCGUUGUUGUCUGGCACAAUGAACACUUAACAUCAUAUUGAUUAGAGAGAAAAUUUCCCUAUGGUAUUUUGUGGGUCGUCUUGACUCAGUAUUGACAGAGAGUGUAUCUAAGCUAUUUAGUGGAUGGUCUUGCCAUGUUGUUGAUUAUUAUCAUCUGGCACAGUGUGUUCUUAACACCACACUUAGUGGAAGAUCAUUACCCCUUGCACACUGAGCGCUUGAUGUCAUAUUUAUUAAAGUGAGAAUUAUGAGGAGUUGAAAUACCCCCUUCAUGAAUUAAUUGGAACUAAAAACAUAAAUAUUAAGCCUAUGGUGAAAUGUUGAGUAUGAAUUUAGAGACUCAAGCUUUUCAUUUGCAUUAUUUUCAUCUUUAAUUCAUUCCCGCCAUUUUUUUAAAUCUUAAGAUAAAAAAAUUCACUCCCAACCAACUCACAUAUACACCUAGAAAAUUAACCCUAUGCAGAAUUAAAUCUACAUUCUCGUGGGACCGAACACAAAAUCUAUUUACAAUAGAUUCGUGCCCUUGCGUGUACAAUAAAAUGUGGGCAACACCCAUCAAGAACAACUCAUGUAUAAAGUACAUAGACAGUAUUUAUAAGUUUCUUGUUCCUAUAAUGAUUCUAGCAACUAUAAUUCACUGAUGAAUUAAAAAGAAUAGUGAAGCUUAAGAAAGAAAAUGACAGAAAAGUAUUUUGCUAAUAGUCAUUAUUAGUACUUUCCACCCCUCAUCCAUCCAUUUGUCAACCAUUUUACCUACCAUCAUAUAUCUCUAAAGUUAUAACAUGCCCUUGAGCAACUGCUUUGGCCUUUCCUCGACCAUUUUUUUUCUUUUUGCUACUUGAAGCUGGUACAAAAUCAAAUAAGAUACAAAUUAGCCAUUAAUUUAAAUUUAAUUGUGCAUUAAACAUUAAGUUAAUACCUUCAUCUAUUGUAGUAAAACAUAAAGCUUCACCACCAAUUAUAGAGCUAAUUCAGUAUCCUUGUUAUGUGUGCUAGCUUGAGACUUUCCUUUGCUAGCAACUAUGUCAUUUGAUCUUGUAAUUUUCAUUUGUCUUUUUCCCUUUGUUAGUAGCUAGAGACUUCUUUUUGUUUAUAGUUCGAAACUUUCCAUUUUUAACCAUUAGAAGCCAAUUAAUCAUUCAACAAAAAUAUUUCAAACAAACACAAAUGGUAGAAACGGUUAGAUUAAUCAUAGUUACAAAACCUACAUGAUAAAAAAAUAAUGCAGCAUGCACUGUACAGAGUCAUAAUAAGUUACCAUUUUUAACUUGCAAAAGGAAAAAGGGAAUAUUUUUUCUAAUUUGCAAAGUGUUAAGCUCAUUUGUUUUCCAAGCCUAACCAAAUCUUAUUCUUUCAAAACCUUAGCACAUGAUUAUGUGAAAAAUGUGCUAACUUCUAUCAAAGCAUCACAAAUUUCUUUUAGUAAAAACUCUCGCAUUGUAAGAGACAAUAAUCUCUCUAAGAACACAUGAUAGUCAUGAGUCUUCAUGCACGGAAUUUUAUGCUCGAGUAUAUUUAAACAUCUUAGUAAAUUAGUUGAAUAUCCAUCUGGAACUUGCACAUUCAUAAGCCACUCACACAAUCUUUAUCUCUUUUCAUUUGUCAAACUACAAGAAGAAAUGGGAAAAAUAGCUUUUCCAUCAUUAUAUUUUGGGUGAAGCUCAUGCUUUAUAUUCAACGAUUCGAUAUCAAGGCGAGCAUUUAGGUUAUCUUUUGUUUUGCCAUCAAUAUUAAAAAGUGUACCAAGUAUAUUAUCCCGCAUUUUUUUUUUCAAUUUCCAUGACAUCUAAAUUGUGAUACAACAAAAACGUUUUCAGUAUGGUAACUGAAAAAAAAAACUAUGUUUUUUCUAAUUUUUGUGCUUUUCAAACCCAUGAAUGACCUGCUUUUUCCCUGUUUUACCAAAUAUUAUUGGCCUUAAACUUUCAAGUUCAUUUAUCCCUUGCUCACUAGAUGGUCUUUUCGGUGUAGCUUUCUUUUCUAUCAUACCAUCAAAUUGGCUCUUUUGAAAUCUCCACUUAUGUCCCAGUGGCAAAAAUCGACGAUGCCUCAUAUAAAAUAUUUUUGAAUUGUGAUGUAAUCUACGAUGAGCAGUCUUCUUAGCACAACAUGGGCAAACCAACUUUCCUUUUGUGCUUAAACCAGAUGUAAGAUCAUAUGCAGGAAAGUCAUUAAUUGUCUACAUAACAACCGCUUUCAAUUGAAAAUUUAAACGUGUGGAAACAUCAUAAGUAUUCACUCCAUUUUCCCACAACUCAUUCAACUCAUCAAUUAAUGGCCUCAAGUACACAUCAAUAUCAUUACCUGGGCCUUUUGGGCCUGGGAUAAGGAAAGACAUGAACAUAUACGACUCUUUCAUACACAUCCAAUGUGGAAGAUUGUAUGGAAAUAAAAGAACAGGCCAACAACUGUAUCCAAAAUUCAUAUUUUCAAAAGGAUUGAAGCCAUCAGCAGCUAAACCCAGUCGAACAUUACGGGGAUCGCUAUAAAAUGACUCAUAAAUGUGAUCAAAACUCUUCCAAGCCUCAUAAUCUAUAGAAUGCCUUAGCAACCCAUCUUUAACACGCUUUUCUGAGUGUCAUCUCAUGUGUGCAACUACUUUAGAUGACAUAAAUAACCUUUGAAGUCUAUGUGUAAUAGGAAAGUAACAUAUAACCUUCCAAGAACAUUUUUGGCUUUUCCUUCACCACCUUACCUUUUGUCUUCCAUCUCGAAAGCCCACAAGUUGGACAUUGAGAUGCAUUUGCAAAUUCUUUAUAAUAGAUUAUACAAUCAUUCACACAUGCGUCAAUUUUUUCAUAAUGCAAACCAUUAUCUUUAACUAUCUUUUUUUAUCAUAAUUACACGUAGGCAAUUUUUCACACGAAGAAAAUGCAUCCUUCAAAAUCUCCAAUAAUGCGUCAAAGGAUUUGUUACUCCAACCAUUAAUGCAUUCGGCAUGCAUUAAUGUGACAAAAAAAGAUAAGUUGGAAUAUCUCGUACAAUUUGAAUACAAUGGUUGUUGUGCCUCUCCUAAUAAUUUAUAAAAACUUAAUGCAUCAUUUUUAGGAUCUUGGAAAAACUUUCUUUAACUUGGCCAAACAUAUCAUUAUAUCCACCAUCACAACCAUCAUCACUAUAACAGUCAACAUCAUCAUUAUCACCAUCACUAUCACUAUCACUAUCACUAUUACUCUUUCUAUUUUCCUAAGGGAAAUUAUCAUUCGUAUAUCCUAUGGAUGCUCUGUUAUCAAAAAUACUACAAGACUUUGAGAGUGUAUCAAUCAUCCACCCUAAAUUGGCAAAAUGUAUUUGCUAUUAACCAAACUGUUACUUACCGUUUAAAUAAGAUGACACCAGAGGGGUAAUUUGGUCUUUUCAUAUGAUACAAGUAAUAAUUAAAGGGUAUACAAGUGAUAAUAAAAGAAUUUAAGGGUAUACAAGUGAUAAUUUUCAAGGGUAACAUCGUCAAUUCGCUAUAAUUCUGUUAACUUUCAAACGGCAGCUAACGGUUUGGUGGUUGGCAUAUAACUUUUGUUAAUUUAGGGUGGACGAUUGAUACACCCUCAAAGUAUUGUAGUAUUUUUUAUAACAGAGCAUGUAUAGGGUAUUCGAAUGAUAAUAUCCCAUAGUAUCAAGUAGUGUAGUCCAAUCUCAUCCCUUUAUAUAAAAGAUGUCUUUCCACCUCGCUCUGAACUAAUCUAUACCUAUUGGUACACUUAACGCAUGGAUAUAGGAUUUUUUUUAUCCUCAUAUUUAAUGUGUCUAAAAGCAGAAUCAAGAAAAUUUUUCACUCCACUAACAUAUUUACUUGUUGACUUUUCUAAUUACAUCCAUGAUUUAUCAACUGACAACAUGUCUGAAUAAAAAAAAAAUUAUAUGAAAGGCAAAAUCAUUAUGCAAGCAGUAGCCACAGUAGCACUCAAGAGAUAUACUACAUCAUUAAAUAAACAAAACACUUUGCAGACUUUAAAGAACAAAUUCUAACCUACAGAAUAUAAUUAGAAAAGCAGCCACCACAAAGCACAUAAGCUUUUUUGUAUAGUGGUACAACAAUCAAAACCUGAAACAUGUCCAUUAGUAUUAAAAUUUUGACAUCAAACAAAAAUGAAACUGAAUAUCAUUUUUGCUGAGCUUUAAAUAUGACUAUCACUAAUUUUAUUUUAUUUUAUUUUUGUUGAGACUAACACUCUUGGAUUUCCUUUGAAUGUUCCUAAUUAUCAUUUUUAAUAACUCAUCAAAGUUGACUUUCUAAAAUAGUGUUUUUCAAUCCUAUAAAACAAAGCAAAUAAAUGCAAACUCGAUUAACCAAACAAGAAAUGGUUGUGCACUCUGUGCUUCUAAAUUAUGCAAACUCUGUAGUUAAUUACAUAUUAACUACACCAUCGAGAAUUAUCACAAAACAUUUUUAUUACAAAUUCAUGUUAAUGGAUCAAGAAAUUACCAAUUAAGUUUUAAGGAACUUGGUGAAAUUCAAGUCAUUAAGGCCCAGAAAGUAAAACUUUAAUAAGAUUGAAAUGCAAGAAACAAAAGUAAAUAACUGAAAGAAGAAUAAAAAUUACAAGUAUCAAAACUACAGACCAAGAGAUGCGUACAAAGAGUUGAUGAGUUGACUCGGAGAGACAUAAAAGAUGCACAAAGUUGUGAAUCUACAACUCUAAAACCCUAGAAAAUUUAUGAUAUUAAAGAAAAAUUAUUAAGAGGGAGAUGGAUUGGAGAAACUGUAGGAAAAGCUAAAAAGAGUUAAAAAUUUGCAAGCUAAAAAUUCUAAGUAAAUUUACUUUGAGGUGCUUCUACAUGCAAACAAGAUACAGAGAGUGAGAGAGCAGCAGAUGCUAAGAUGAAAAUAGUGUCACCAUUUGUUCGUUUGAAUUUUCUUUUAAUCAAAUUGUAUUAAUUACAAUGUCUUAUUUUGUUUAGGGGUUUUAUUUACUACCAAAGGGUUGGGCUUUAUUUAAUUGGCUAUGUUACUUUUGUAUGAACUGAUAAUAUCUUAUUUUUGUUUUAUUUAUAUAUUUUUUAUAUUUAUAGGAUUUAUUUCUUUUUUAUCUUUUUUAUAGGAGGUUCAAAGAUUUUAUUUUAAUUUAGUAUUAUAUUUCCUACCACAAAUUCAUUAUUAUCAGGGGCAAAUUACCCUCUGAAAACUUUAUCAUUUUUUUAAUGAUUUUCCAACAACUCAUUUAUGUCCUUGUAAAAAGUGCUUAUUAUAGAGGGUAAACAAUGCCAUUGGAAAUAUUUCUUCGAUAAUACAGCUUUUGUUGUAGUGCGUUGGCAAUGUUAUGAAGAAAAUCUAGACUUGAAUGAUAGUUGGCUAUCUUUGUUUGGUGAGUUUGCACGUUACAAGAUUGUGUGAGAUGAUUCUAUUGUAAGCCUUUGGCAAGAGCGAUACAAAUUGGCAUAUUUGUUUCCAAAGGUUUGUUACUUGCCAUGUUGAUGCUGGAUUGAGUUGGUGUGUUGAUCUUUUCCAUGUUGGUACGUGAUUCGUGUGGCUGCAUAUGGUUCAUGCGCUGUGACUAUUUGAAUUCCGUGAAUUCCUCAUGUGGUGGGCAAUGUAUCUUAACAGCCCUCUUGAGAUCAGUUGGGUUAUAGAGUGAAUGCCAAGCUUGUGCUGAAAGAGGAAGAAAAGAUCUUUACCCAGUGGUUUGGUAAGCAGAUAUAUAGUUUGCAACAAUAAGGGAAUAUGCUUGGCUUCAAGAAGUCCUUGAAUGACUUCUUCACGAACGAAAUGGACAUCGAUUUCGAUGUGUUUGCUAUGAGCAUGAAGAAGUGGAUUAUGUGUCAUGUUGAUGGCGCUCUUGUUGUUGUUGAGGAGGUGAGGAACAUGUAAAGUUGAGACCCCGAUGUCCUAAAAUAAAGUAAGAAUCCAAGUUAAUUAAGCCAUUUUGGGAGACAAAUUAAGCCCGAUAUUGUACUUGUACAAUGGAUCAUGCAACAAUUUUUUGUUUCUUGCUACACCAUGUGAUUAAAUUUGUCCCAAGGUAAAUACAAAAGCAUGUUGUGCAACAUUCUAUUUCAAGGUAGGGUUGCCAAAAAAGUCCAAGCCGAGCUGCAUGGAUUAGGCUUGGAUAUAGGCUGAAAAAUAUGAAGCCCGCAUA